GUUUAGACACUUUUUAAAAUUUUUAAUAUUAAAAAAUAAAAGAAAAAUUUUAAAAAAGCCCCCUGUGGUUUCGCACGUUCUGAUUUUAAUAUCCUGUGGUUUAAAAUGUAUCAAUUUGUCCUCAUGUGGUUUUAUUUUUAUAUUUUCGACAGCUUUUUUCUUAAUAUUUUGUUAAAUUAUAUACAAAAAAAAUUUAGAUACCCAUUUAGAUUUAUCGAAUAUUUACUUUAGUACUCUUUAAUUUUAAUUUUAUCACUAAUUUAAAAAAAUAAUAAUAAAAUUGAUAAUAAAAAGAGAAAAACAAAACCACAGGGAGACAAAUUGAUAAUUUAGCGGGGAAAACUUCAAAUACCACCUCUGUGGUUUCGCACUUUCUUAUUUUAGUACCCUGUGGUUUAAAGUGUAUCAAGUUAGUACCAUGUGGUUUCGCACUUUCUCACUUUAGUACCAUGUGGUUUCAAGUAUAUCAAGUUAGCAUCCUGUGGUUUCAUUUUUGUAUCAACUUAGUCCCCUGUGGUUUCAAUUUUCUCUUUUUAUUAUAUAUUUCAGGGUAUAUAAUUUAACGAAAUAUUAAAUCAUAGGGUACUAAAGUGAGAAAGUGUGAAACCAUAUGAGGGUGUUUGAAGUUUUUUCUUUUUUAAAUGAACUCUUUGGGAAGAAUCUUCUUCUCCCAUUCUAUUUAGCAAAAAAAAAAAAAAAAAAAAAAAAAGGUCCAACCAAAUCCGUAAUGACUUAAGGACAAAAAUUAAUUUCACAUAAUAAGAUAUUUUUUCUCCUAUUGUUUUCGCAUAUCUUUUUCAAAGAAAAAUCGUUUCGUACAGGACGUUGCUUCAGCUACCCAACAAACGAUGCUUGUGACACGCCGUAGUUACGUUCACAUCAUUUUUUUAAAAAAUUUUUGAUAAAUAUAAAAAACAUUAUUUUAACUAUCACAUAUUUUGAUUUAAUUAUCCAACGUUUAAAAAUUACAAUUUUACUAUCUAAUUUUUUAGUUUAUUUAAUUUAAGUGGAUUAGUAACUCUUAAAUUCUAAAAUUUAAUUGCAUUGUUUAUCAUUACAGAUUUAAUUAGUACAUUUUAUAUAAUUUAUAUACCUAUAAAUUCGUUAAAGUAAGAAAUUAGCUUAAAUUUUUUAUUAAAAAUUUCACCAAAUAAAUUAAAAAAUUGGACACUACAAUCAAAAUUUUGAAAAAUUAAUAAAUAGAAUCAAAAUAGUCAAUAGCCGAGUUAAGUUUUAUAUAUUUUUAUUUUUUUUAAUCUUAUUUACUGGCUUUUUUUUACCCUACAGAAAUGCUCUGACGAUAUAUUUUAUUUAUAUUAAAUCUAAAGUUUAAAAAUAAAUAAUGAUUCGAGCCCCCAAUCUUAUAUCAAGCAAUCCUAAAAUCUACAAAGCAAAAUAGAUUAUAAUCCUAUAGCACUCGUUCAAUGUUAAUUUUUCUCUGCUAAUCAUAUCAAUUUUUUAUUUUUUUAAAAAAGCAAAACUAUAUUUAAAAUCAUUAUUUGGUUGUGAUCUUACAACUUGUCCAUAACAAAAACUAAAAUUUUCACAAUUUUCUUUUCACUCCUUAUUUUUCUUAAUACUAAUUUUUAAAAAAAAAAAUUAUAUUUUUGGAGAAAAUUGUAGCAAACUAACUGCUUCAUUCCUUAAAAGCUUAAAACAAGGAAAAAAAAAUCGUUUGAAGUAUAAGGGAUUAUUCCCUCUUUUAUAUCCAAACACUGAUAGCUAAGAAUGAAAACAGCUGUUCGCAUCCUUAGCCGGUUAUUCUGAAAUAACCCGCUAAGGGUAGGAAUAUAGACGAAGAAUUGUAAGAUUAUAUAUCCUCCUAUGCGUAGUAGAUAUUUUUGUUUGCAGCCAUUUUAAUUCGAUUUUGAUUGUGGACUUAGCAUUGUUUUUUUAUAUUUUUGUCCAGUAAAAACUUGAAAUCAUUUGACGGUCCCACUAAAUAGAGAGAGAAAUAUCAUUUGAGGAGGAAAAUGCAUAUUAGGCGCAGGAAAUAAGGUUUUUUUUUUUUUGUGUGUGUGGAUUUUUCUCCCUAUAUUACAAGAAUAUAAACAACAAAAUAUUAAGCUUUUGUAGAGAAUACGUGAAAAUUUAGAAUUUAUAGAACCAAAUACAAAGAAAAUAAUUAUACAAAGUAUAUGUAUAUACGUAAAUUCUUUUAUACGUCUUUUUGUUUUUCUGUACCUAAGUAGGAUAAAUUAAUUUCACCAAACCUAUUUAUUGAUUAAUUAAAAGGCUUGGGAGCAAAAUAAAACUCCCCCACCCCCCCCUCUAAAGUUCAAAGUAAAAAAAAUUCUUAAUUUGACUUUUAAAAAGAUUCUCUGGAGGUUUCGUUAAUGAAGCUUUUUUGAUCUUAUUUGUUCUCUCAAAAUAUAGUCAAUAGUGGCUGCUUUAAAUGGUGUAAUAUAAUUAUAUAAACCAUAAAGAAAAUGUUAUUGUUUCUCCUUGUACAAAUGUAAAUUUUAAAGCUACAUUUUGCCUGCUUUUGUGGAAUAAAAGCGUGUUGAAUAAAUUAAAUACUUUUCAACUUAAAAGUUAAAACAACUAAAACAUCACAAAUAAAUUUCAAACAACUUUUUGAAAAAAUGCCAUAUGCACCGAUUUGUACGAAAAUUCUAAAACAAGGGUAGCAAAGAAACCACUGCAAAAUAAAUUAUUAUAUGGACCACGUUGAGGUUUCUAAAUCUCAAAUUUUAAGGUCUUAAAAUUCAAAUCUGAAUUUUUUUUUUUUUGAGAGAUAAAUAGCACGCUACCCACUUCCUUUUAUUUCAUUUAGAAAUAAACUUAGCUGGAAAUGUGAAUCAACUAGUAUUGGAACUUGGCUCUCGGGUACAAACCACCAAACUCUUUGCCACUUGUUCUAGGGACGGUCGGUUCAAAUGUGGAUCUUAAGUCUCAUUUAUAAUAUCUAAAUAAAUAGUUUACAUAUGAAAAUUUAUUAUUUUUGAAAAUUUUCUCUAAACAUAAAACAGUUGCAAAAAUUAGUGUGCUAAAAACAUCCAUUAUUUGUUAUUGACGUUCAGAAUAUUAGGUGCUACUAUUAGGGGUGUCAACGAGUUGAACAUAGGCGAGCUAAGGCCGGCCCGUAUUCGACUUGCUUAUGUAUCAAGCCGAAAUAUUCAACUCGUGUUCGGCUGAACACAAGCAGAAUACAAACCGGCUCAUGAACAAGUAAAAAAAAUUAUAAAAGAUACAUAUAGAAAAUAAAUUUAUGCAAUGUUACGUAUCCAUUUGACUUUGAUCUAAUAGUUGAAAUUUAAAAAUAAUCUUUUUAUAAUUGAGUUGGGCUUAAUAUUUAGGUUAGUGGUGGAACUGGGCCCGAGCCUGAACAAGGCCCGGCCCGAUGGGCCAUGCUUGGGCUGGGUUUUGGGCAAUACAAAUACAACUUUGGGUUCGGGCUGGGCUUAAAAUUUUGGGCCUGAAAAAAAUGGGGCUUAUUUGGACAUAUCCAAGCCCGGUCCGAACCCGACCCAAAAGCCCAAUAUAUUAAUUAUUAGAAAUAAUAUAUAUAUAUAUAUAUAUAUAUAUAUAUAUAUAUAUAUUAUAUAUAUAUAUAUAAUAGAUUAUUCAGGAAUACACAUUGAAUGCUGAGUUACGCAUUGAAUUUCUAGUAGUAGAUUCCAUAAUCAAAAAAGUUUUUGUGAUUGUUCCAGAAGAAAUGAAACAUUUUGAAUCUGGGCUCUUCUAUCUUCUACUUAUUUUUGAUAUUUACUUUUUUUUUUUGCUUUAUUCUUUAUUUCCACAUAAAAAGGAAAUCUUUUGUUACAAUAGAACUAGAAGUGAUGUGGAUCAUUCAAGAAUCGAAGUUGAUUUGCUUUAUAAAAAAAAGAUAUCAAUGGAUAUAUAUAUAUAUAUAUAUAUAUAUAGAGUCCGGCUACUAUGCUAUCGGUAGCAUGGAGCGCUCCAUGCUAUCAAGUUGUUUUCGAUGAUGCGGCUUCCAAAUCGACGAUCGGCUCCGUUAGACUUGAUCUACACUAUUGAAAGUAUUUAGAAGCUAAAUUUUAAUUUUUUUCUACAUCAUUUGACUAGUGAUCAAAAGAUCUCAAAAUGACAAUUUUAAUAUCGAUGUGGUGUGUUUGUGAGUUUAACGGUGUAAAACAAUCCAAAUGCGAUGAAAAUUUUAUAGAAAAUUCUUUUUACUAUUUAGAGUAAGAUUAGUAUAUCUGAUCUUGAAUUUAAAUCUUUUAUCAUUAUUUUUCAUGAGAUUUUUAUUUUCAGCCGUUCAAUUUUAGGCUACUUGUUUGAUAGGUAAAUGAUAUCGAAAAAUUAUGAAAUUUAGUUUCUAAAUACUUUCAAUAGUGUAGAUCAAGUCUAACGGAGCCGAUCGUCGAUUUGGAAGCCGCAUCAUCGAAAACAACUUGGUAGCACGGAGCGCUUUGUGCUACCGAUAGUAUAGUAGCCUAGUUAUAUAUAUAUAUAUAUAUAUAUAUAUAUAUAUAUAAAAGGAAUAAAUGAUAUAGACUACUAGACUAGAUUGAACUAAAAUCAAAUAACAAAAAUUUAUAUUAUAAAUAUAUAUAGUUAUUUAUUUAUAUAUAAAUAUAAAUUAUAUAAAUAAAAAGUAUAUGUAUUCCGGUUAUCGAGCCGAACACUAGCGAGCUGACUCCUAACUUAUAUAUAGUUCGUUUAUUAAACGAGUUGGAAAAUUCAGCUCGUGUUUGGUUUGUUUGCUAAACAAGUAAUUUAAUCUCGAACGAACUAAAUGCGAGUUGGCUCGCGAACAGCGAACUGGGUUGCCACCCUUAGCUAUGAAUAGAAACUUAUUCUCUAGAUUUUUUUUUAUUCAAGUAGUUUUUUUUUUUUUUUUGUGAUGGGAAACAAAUUAAUUUUUGUAAAGAAAACUUGCUAGGAAUGUUUUUUUCCUGUUUAUUUUGUUUUUUUGUGAAAAGACCUGUAGCCCCCUGAAGAUAUGUUGUCUCAUUUUGGUGGUAUCACAGUUUUUUAAAAAUAUAAUUUCUGCAUGAAGUAGUAUAAGAUUGCUUAUAAUCUUUACAUUUAAAAUACUUUUUUUGACAAUAAAAUAUAAAAAAUAAAAGCAACUAUCUUUUACUUUAAGUUGUCAUCCAUCAUUUUGGUUGAGAUGUAUUGCAAGUUAACAAACCAUAAUAAUAAUACAAUUUUUUUUUCUUAAAAACAAAAAAAGAAAUUUCACCUAUAUAUCAAAUUAUAUAGAAUCGGCACUAGAAAAAAGAACAACGGUGGCAAACAAGGCAUUUGAAUUUUCCAUUAGCUUUAGGGUAAAUUAUAUUUUAGGUCGUCAAACUAUAAGCAAUACAACACUUUAGUCUUUAAAUUUUAAUUUAUUAUAAUUUCUGUCUCUAAUUUUUUGAAUUGUAGGAAUCAAGGAACACAACCUAAUUUAAUUUGCCUAACUACCGAUAAAUUAUUGAUGCAGAAAUAAUAUAAAUCUUAAUUAUUAUUAUAUCACCAAUCAAAGUACCUUCACAUCCAUUCUACAGUAGUAUUAAUACUUUAUCACUGUUUUGUUAAUUAUAUUGGGUUUUGAGACUUGGUUACAAGUUAAAAUUUGGAGCACAAAGUAUCACACUCAUCAUACUUUUGAGGACCAAAAUAUUAAUUCACCCUUAGGUUCAUUACUACUAGGCCAAAUCAUCAUGGGCAUUAAAUUCUAACCAUGUGUGACAAAAUUUUAAAAUUGUGUGUGAUAAAUGUGAAACCUUUAAAGCUUAGGUAGCAAUCUGAAAAUGGAAAAUGUUAAAAAGUAAUUCUCGCGUAUUUAACCUUGUAUAAUUUAAGCUUUAUUUGAGAUUGCGGAGAGAUUACAUUACAUGCGAUGAAAAAGUACAAUAGAAAAAUCGUACGUAAUAUUGUGUUUCGCAUAUCGCGAUGAGUCAGUUACGGUAUACUUUCUAUGGCCCCAACGAAAAAUGUAGAAGUAUAUCUCCAUAUGAUUUUAUUUCAACUUUAUUUUGGGGCCGUUUGGUUGCAUGUAGUUGCAACUACAUUGCAGUUGUAACUGUAUGUAAAUGCAAAUUUCGUGUUUGCUUUGAUGUAUUUAACUCCAACUGCUGCAGUAGGAACUGCAGGAGGAGGUCCAACUGCAGCAAUUCGAAUUACGCCCAAAUUCGCCGCAGUUCCAACUGCAACAGUUGGAGAGAGUAAUUUUAAAUAAAAUGCAUGCUUACCUCCUCAAUAUUUUUUAAACAAAAAUUAUUUUUCUUUUUUACAUUGAAGGUAAUCUCACCAUCAUAUAUAUAAAAUAAUAAAAUUUUUUAAAAUUAUUUCUCAACUGCAUGCAACCAAACAAAUUAUUUAUACUUGAAGCGCUUUCUACUACAUCCAACCAAACAAGAUUCAUAUAGUUAUAACUGCUGUAUUUCUAACUGCAUUCAUUUUUAACUACACUGCAUUUAUAAUUACAUCUAAUAAAACGCCACCUUUAUUUAAUAGCAUCCAAUAGGUCUGAAUACAAAACUAAACCGGGUUUAGGCCGAUACCAAUGCCUAUUCUUUUAGGACGGGUCGGGCCGUUUUUUUGUUCAAACAGGGCGUAGUUAGGUCCAAUUCGACCCGGUCCGGCCCGGCCCAUUAUCGCGUCUAUGCACCUCCUUCUUCCUUUUCAAACAAAUGGCGCGUUCGUCGUUCUCUUCAGAACAAGAUAAGGUCUAGGGUUUCCUCUCUCACUCCCCAAACCCUAAACCCUAAACCCCAAAACCCUCUCUCUCUCUCUCUCUCUCUCUCUCUCUCUCUCUCUCUCUUCGCGAUGCUCCUCUCUUUUCGCGUCUCACCCUACCUCCCUCUCCGCCGCUUCUUUUUCUUCCUCUGCCGCAGCUCCUCCUCUUCCGCGCCGCCGCCGCUGCCCAUGGCGGGGUACAAGGAGGCCUUCGCCCGGCGCAUGGCCAUGGCCGGGAUCAAACCCCAUCAUCGCAUCGGUGAGAAAAAGGCUCCAUAUUUACCUCCCCAACACUCCUAGUUGCGCCCCAUUCAUCGCGAAUUUUUGCGUUCUUUCGCAGCUUUGGGAGUCUCCGGUGGCCCCGAUAGCAUGGCGCUCUGUGUCUUAGCGGCGGGGUGGAAAUUGGAUGGGUCGGCGCCGAAGGAUGAGGCGUCGGGAUAUAUUGAAGGGCUUUUGGGGAUUGUUGUGGACCAUAGGCUGCGGCCCGAAAGCACCGAGGAGGCGGAGAUUGUUCGAGAUAGGGUAAACAAUAUGGGUAAUUUGCAUCGUCUGGUUUCAGUGAAUUCCAAAAAAAGAUGGUUUUUUUUUUGGUCCCCAAUGUGUUUUUGUGAUUGCAGAUGAUGCUUUCGUGCAGGAAUUCGGUGCGAGAUCGCAUGUUGUAGUUGGCCCGAUGGACAGCCGAAGCAAGGCCAUUUGCAAGAAGCUGCUCGUGAGAUGAGGUUAUUUUUGUUUCCUUCUCAUAUUUGUUUCACGUUUCGGCUAGUUGCUAUCGUAUUAAUUCAUUUAUCUUGCUAUGUAGGAUCUUUAUCAGUUGUUAUAAGGUAUAGGUGGAUUCUGAACAUUUCUCAACUGAUAAUGAUAGUGUUUGUGUAAGUUGAUAAGCUGUAGGCUUGAUAUUAGUGCGCCCUUAUGUCGAAUAUCUUCAUUGAUAUUUUAUGGGUUUGAUCAUUUGUUCAAAUUGCCUAAGACUUGAAUGAUACUCUUUUAUAACCACAAACUUUGAACUUUUAAUUCUUGAUUUAGAUUUGGUGCAUGUGAUUUUCUUGCUCAAUAUUAGAAAUGCGUUUUUCGAAUUCUGUCUAUUUUGUAAUUACUCCUGUUGGGUCUUAAAUUUCAGGUAUCGUAAUUUUCAACGUGUUUGCGAACAGCAGCAGAUUGGUAUCUUGCUUAUUGCACAUCAUGCAGAUGACCAGGUCUGUGCUAGUUCUAUAUAAUUAUUCCAAUUUAUCUCUGUUCUUGGAGAUUGUAUUUAAAAGUUAUUUACGAACUACAAAAAGAAAAAGGUGUAACAUUUAUUUUCCAUAACUUGGAAUUGUAGUUAAUCUCCAUUUGCAAGUUCUAUACUCUUUUUUUUAUUUAUCUCACAGUUGCUAAUCUUACUAAUAUGUUGCAAAUACUCCAUAAAUAGAAAGUUUCCUUUUUGUCUUGUUGAAUAAAAUGAGUUUUUUUUUUUUAAAAUAAAAAUAUAAGCAUUUUUUUUUACUCAGGCAGAACUCUUAAUUCUAAGACUAUCUCGUGGUAGUGGAGUUCUCGGGCUUGCUGGCAUGGCAUUCAUUUCACAAUUGUUUCCUACACAUCUAAGAUGCUCCAGUGAAAGUCCCAGUAGUAAUGGUAUUUUACUUGUCCGCCCAAUGCUUGAGUUUUCGAAAGAGGACAUGUACAAAGUAAGUAUGCUUAUUGGAACACUCAGAUAUUUUAUUUUCCUAUUGUAGUUUAAUAUUUGGUUUCAAUUAUAAAGGACUGAGAAGGUACAUAAGCAAACCAAUCAAAGCAUUUCUAACGCUUCAACAGGGCAUAGACUGUCUAUAUUGUUUUGGGCUGGAAGCUGGAGUUGCAUACAUUUAUUGUUUUAAUGCAUGUACUACUUGCUAACAAUUCUGAGCAUCUUUAAUGUUUUGGUAUUCAUCCUCUUCUCCCCAAUCAUUUCUAAGAUUCACGUCACUACCUUCCUUUUCUGAUUCUUACUAGUUUAAUACAACCUGCAGAUAUGUCAAGGAGUUGAACAGGUUUGGGUGGAAGAUCCAACAAACCAGAACUUGUCAUUUGUACGGAAUCGAAUUCGAGCCUCAUUAACGAAUCUGUCAUCAUGUAAGAUUAUUAUUUGAAACUGAGAUUAUCCUAUUAAUGCUGAUUCGCUUAUCGAAUCGUACUUUUGUUGAUGGACAAUGGUGAAACCACAGUUAGAGACAAGAAAUAUUUGAUUAUUUCACCUUGUGCUUUGCUUUUAAUCACUUUUGUCCACAAAUGUUUCACUGAAUGGGAAUUUGAAACAUGAUUUGGAAGAAUUAACUCCCAGAAAUGAAUGGGCAUUGUGCCUUUUCUCAUCGAUUGUUCUUGUAGACUCUAAGACAUGUCCUCAUCAUGAGUAAUUUUUAAACAUCCUACUUUGUAUUUUAUUUCAGAAUGCAUCUUAUUGUUAUACGAGAACAAUAAGUUUACCACGGAUAUCGGGCUUAACUAGAAUAUACUUGGAAAACAAUUGAUAUCCUUUCUCAUUUGAACCGUGAUGUUAUAGAUAACAUCAAGCAUUAUAAAAGUUCAUGGUUAACAUUUUUCCAAGUUUCCCUUUUGUUCACAUUACAUGUUUGAUUACAGCUGACCUGGUCCGCUAUUCUCAACAAGCGGAGAGUAAGAAAGGAUGGAUUUUCUUUUUACCUUAUAUUUGUGCGCGCGUGUGUUUUUUGUUUUUGCUUUUGUAGUACAUGCCUGCUCCUCGUUGUAUAUUAUGUGAAAUUUCAUAACCAGGCUUCGUUUUUUACUUCCUUUUGUCAAUGUUAGUCUCUAGUAAGACAUGCUUCAAACCUUCUGAUCUUGCUUUAUUAGUAAUCAAGAUAUAAUAGAGCCAUUAUUUAUCCCCUCGCCAAUUUACUCAUGCAUAAGUCUCAAUAUUUAUAGUAGAUGGUUUGACAUGGUUAGUCACAAUCGACCAUCUAUUGGUUACAUUUUGGUCCUUGUUGCUUACAUCAAGCAUGCCAUCAUAAUCGAGGCUCUCCCAACAUUAUUGGGAUAGGUAGAAAAUAACUUAAUUUUAAGGAGGCUUAUGAAUGAGUUGGUAAGUUAUAAUAGGAGCUGUUUAGAGAACUCAUAUGCCUUCCUGAUUCGCUUCAAUGCAAUCAAGAGAUAUGGAAUGAAAAUUUCCGUUUGAAUUUACUUCUGGACUCCUGAUGAGCCCACUUAUAGAAAUUUGGAUUUUGAUUUUAUUGUUUCGUUAUUUCUCGCCUUUUUCUUUUUUCCCCCUCCCCAAUAGCAUAUAUUAGAUACUUUGAAAUGGUUUCCACUCUUACUGGUUUAAAUUUGCUUGGUCCCAUUUUCAGGUGCUUUUAGGUUGGAAUUGCAAUCACUCAUCUCUGCUUGUCGAUUAACGCGUGCAUAUGUUGAUAGUUUUUGCCAUAAAAUGAUGAGGCAUUCUGUGACUAUCGAUGAGGUUUCCUUCGACACUUGUUUGAGCAUUCAGGGCAAUCACAAUACUUUACAAAUUCCUGUUUUCUGGGCCUCCAAGUGGGGGAUAUUUUAAGCAUGGUUAUGUGAUUUUUUUUUUCUUUUUGGGUACCUCCUAAGUACUAGAAAAUUUCUUGUAAUGUGGUGACCAAUUCUUCAGCUAUUUAUGCUGUAGACAUUGAUUUUAUGGUACAACAGGGACCAAGAAAUGGCAUUUACUUCCAUGUUGAUAUUAAGUAUACCUUUUCAGUUGAAGUCUAAUCUUGUUUUAGUAGUAUGCCUGAAUAAGAUAUGGGAGUUUACUUCAUGACUACUGUUCAGUACAGUGUAGCAAUGGUAUUGUGAAGAGUAAACUGGUAUGUAAUUUCCUAGUUGGAGUUUUGGUGUAACUUUGUUUCUUAGUCUAUGUUUUUCUUGAUAGAAAUUCUUCUUUUCUUUUUUCAGUUCUAAUGAAUGCUGGUUAGAAAAUCUGAAAUCUUGUUCGAAAAAGAAAAUAGAUAUCCUGUGGUCAUCAUUGGAGAAUAACUAGUGUUUGUUUUGUUAAUUUCAAAUCAAAUGUAUCAUGAUAACUUUUUGUUAUUUGUAGCAUGGGUAUGCUAUUAUCGAUCUAGAAAAGCUCGAGCCAACAGAAGUUGAUGAUCUUUGCCUUUCACAGUAUCUGGCCUCAAUCUUGCAGGUAUUAGUCGGUAUUUUAUUGCAUUCCUUUUUUCUUUUUGUUUCCAUCAACAAGAACACAACUCAAAUAUGUUGCCUUUUUCAUAUUUGUGAUAGUUAAUUCACAAUGUGGCAGUUUAUCUCUCAAAGGCACAGACCAAUUCGUGGCAGAACUGCUCGAUUGCUAAUUAGCUACUUCCGUAAAAUCCCGUGCAAGGUCAAUUUAUUAUAUUUCCACUAUCCUGGCAUUGUAUUUGAAAUCCUUGGUGUUCAAUGCAAAUAAAUCCUUGAACAAUUAUUCACCUUUUGAACUACUAUGCAGACCUCCCUUUCCGCAGCUGGUUGUUACCUUUGUGCCGCUCCACGGUCCAAAGGCUCAAAAAUUUUGAUCUGUUGCUUGGUUGAGUCGCCUCAGUCAUUUAUUGUUGAUUUUUCAUCUACAUACUCAUGUCGGGAAGAACAAUGUACUCUGCCCAGUGAAAUAGCUCAGAUAAUUAAGGAAGCGGCAUUGUAUUCUAAUGAAUCAGCUGCAGAGGUUUUGAACAUCUCUUUUCUGAAUGCAAAAUGUUCAAUGGAUGUUCUAAGUGAAGCAAAGAAGCUCGAUAUUAUAAGUGAGUCAACUUUGAAAAGUAUUUCCUUACUGAGUGUAGAAGAACAUGAGAAGUUUAUUACCACUACAGAAGCUCAGGAUAAUCAGGAGUCGAUGCAUGAAAUGAACUUUUCUGGUGCUUCAAGCAUAACUAUUCGUCGUGGCGAAGCAUGCCACUUUAUGAACAGGUUCUUAAUUACAUGGAAUUCUGCUGAAGAUGCUAUAAAAUCAGAUAGAGAUCAAGACCAUCUUUGUGAGUUCUGCUUGGGCGACCGGGAAACUAUAUUACACGUUCGACAUUUAGUUGAUGCUGAUUGGUUGUUUCUCGCAGAAGUUUGUAGGAUUCGGGCAGUGGGUGAAUGCCAGUGUAAUUCAGAUGUUUUUACUUGCAAGCCAAAUGAGAAUGAAAUGGAGAAACCUAAAUAUUCAACUUAUAUGCAGUUGUCAGCUGCGAAGGCACUCCAAGCCCUGAAAUCUAUUCCGGUUUCUGCGAGAAGGGCACUCCCUGCACUUGUUAAUUCUCAAGGCUUACUACUAGGUGUGCCGGUAUGUGCAUAUAUCAAUUAUUUGUAAUCAAAGCAUUCAUUUUUUUGGUUAGUUUCAAGAAAAUUUAUAUCCUUCUCAUUUUGAAACAUUUUCUCUUCCUUUAACCGCAUAAUAAAUAAGGCAGUUCUUUCUCUCUCUCUCUCAUGAAAUAUUUGUCACGGUAGCCAUGUUUUGUUAGGCGCCAAAUUUUCCUCACUUAUAUGCAUAAUAAGAGGAUUGACUAAUCUAUUGGGCUUUUGUAACAGAUAUGCUGUCCAUAAUAUCUGAAACUUAAUUAAUGUGCUAGCGAAGAACUAUCUAUUAUCUUUGGUAUUUGCUAUCGACCUGCUAAUGAAAAUAGAUGUACUCAUGGUUAUUAUGAGCUAAUUCCUUUUCUCCUCAUUUUCCUUCAGAGCAUUGGCUUCAGAUGUUGUCCUUGUCUCUCGGUUGCCACAGUAUUCAGUCCAAGGGUGCCCCUUGGAGGAGGUUUCACUUUGUACACCUGAACUGAAGCAAGAAGGUGAUGUAAAUUUUGUUCUUGUGGCGAGAAUCAAGAUAUGCCCAACGGAAACAUGCUGCAUGGGUUAUUUUCACUAGCAAUUGCGUUAGUUCCCGUUCCUUGCAGAUUGUUCGUUGGUAAUGCCCUUUGAUCUUGAUCCAGUCACUAAUUUGAGUUCCAUUGAAUUGUUACUUAACAUUUUUUAAGGUAGAGAUCAGAUCAAUUUGUAGUCAAACGAAGAAAAACACGUGAAAGAUUGUGCAGCACAUGUUUCUCAUUUUUGUUUGAAAGCCAAAAUAUAUUACUCUGGUGCUAUGCUAUAGUAUGGAUCCGGAUUCUUGGUUAGCCAAUAUUUUGUUCUGUUUGUUCUUUACCUCGCUAAGUUAAGCACUCGCACGAAUAAUACGGCAACCUUUAAGGUCUAACUAUUAAUGAGAUGCUGCCAGAUUUGGUGAUUGUCUUCCAUGAGAUGGGCUUGACAAAGAGUAAGAACAUCUGCUGUUCUUCUUAAACAGGUACAUACUAUAAAGACAGGCAAUCGGACGUGCAAUGGAUGCUUUGCUCAAAAGUUUCUGCCUCUUAUUACUGUGAGUUGAUGGCUUUUGAGUGAAUAUCGCCGCUUCAGCCUCAUGGAGCUGCUCAUGCAUUAUUUGGGACAUCAUAUGCCUUCCUCCAGGUUCUUCUUUUGCUAAGUUUAAUAUUUAUUUCCCUGUGUGGUGAAGGAAAUAGUUUUGUCCUUGCUGAGGUAGAAAACUAUGAACUUCUUUUAUUUGUAUAUUUCUUUUCUUUCUUUUGUUAUUUUUAUAAUUUUGAGCCAAUGUUCACAAGAAUCAUUAAAUUAGUUGCACCACCAAGGAUUUAAGUACACAAUGUGUCGUUCACAAAAGUACAUGUAUGCUGACACACUAUGACAUGAAAUAGACAUUUCGUUUGGCACUAAUAUAUUCUAAAUGUUUAUUAUAUGUCUUUAUCAAUUUUUUUGUACUUUAUUGAUGCACAGUUUGCUACUAUCGAAAAAAGGGGGAUUUGAGUCGUACUAUUGGCACAGGUUGUUUUGCCUUGAUAUCUUGUAAACACAGUAUGAACACUCUGUGCACGAGCUAUUCCAAUAGGUACUUAAAUUCUUUUGCACUAUAUUUAGUUCAGGAGUUUAAAACCGUUGCCUUUGAUUUUGGUUAUUUUGAAGAUUAGCAAGGCUCAAGAUCACAAAAAUUAAAGACCACUCAACCCAAAUGGUUUAGUAAUAUAAAAUUUGCAUGGAAUAGUAUGACUAUAUGUAUCAAUCAUUUUUUUAAUUAUUUUACGAGAAACUAAUUUGUAACACAUAUUACCUACAAUUUUACAUGUUAUGAUGACAUGCAGGAGAAAUGAUAACAAGUAAAUACAUUAAUUACUAAACAAACAGUGCAAAUACUGGCUCAGUUUUGUCAAAGGAAACAAGUAAUGAAAUGAAGUAAAACAUCCACUGCACCUAACACACCAAGAACAAUGAACUAGCCCACUGUAAUUAUUUCGCUCCUUUUAUAAUAUAUUAACAAGUAUUUUCCCAUUAAUUUCCACCGAAACGGACGGUGUUGACAAAUAUGAGUAAAAAAAUUGAAAUACAUGAGCUUGCUGCUUCCUGUUUGCCUUCCAGCCAUCAAGAUAAGGAUUUUAAGGAUGGCAAAAAAUAUGAAGAUCACAAUUUCUGUUAGGGUUUUGUAUUCAUUCAUCUUGUUAAAGUCGAAGUCGGAGAAGAAUCAAAGAAGAAGAGAAGAGAGGAUUUCAAGUCUAUUUUGAAGUUGUUAUAUGUGACAAGAUGAAGUUUAGGUUGACAACUUAGCAAAGCCCUUAAUGAUGUUGAUUUGUUUCUUUAAGGUUACUUCAGUAUUGUUUACAACCUAAUCAAUCUUCAGUGCUAGUAACUUUCACUUUCCUGACUACUGUCACUUUAAGCUGAUAAUAUUAGAAUAUUAUUAUUGAUUAAGAAGAUUUAAACGCUAGAAACUUUUGAUUUCUUAAUGACUUAGGCCUAGUUUAGUAAUAUGGUGGUUAAUAUGCUUCUCCCAUGGUGGCCUAGUUUGGUGCAUGUGAUGCUCUAAUCGAUCAGGCACGGUUAGUAUUUUUUAUAGCGAAGGAAAAUUUAUUACUUGUACAAUGUGUAUGCAUAUAUUUUACACACAAUAUUUUUAAAAUUCUAUUAUAAAAAUUUUAAAUUCUCUAAUUAUUUAUGUAUAGACUUUGUGAUAUUGAUCACAUCUGUGAGAUUAAAUUUAGAUUUUGUAAUAUUAAAAUAUUAAAAAAUAGAUUGAACGCAGGUAGUCCACUAAUACUUUGGCGUGUACGGAAUCUGUUAUAACGGUUAAGAGGGUUGGUCGGGCGACGCAUGUCGCUCUGAGCUCCGCCCCAACCACUCUUUAAUGUGACUAGCGAUGGCUUUGUGUUCUGAAUUGUAUAUAUGUAAAAUAUAGUAUACACUAUUUAUAUAGAAUUAUUUUAUAGAGUCAAACAGUAUCAACUUUGAUGUAAUUAUUCAACACAUAUUUUAUAUGGAAUCGAUUCCAACAUGGAAAAUAUUUUUUGAAGAAAAAUAGUAAAGUUUAUAAUAUACUUAUGUUUUACGUCAUUUUGUUCAAAAAGUACGUCCCUAAUUUUUUAUGUUUGUAUAACAAUAAUAAUGAGAUAUACACUAAGCUGUUGUUUAGUUGGAUAUAAGUAUAGUAUUACUGUAGAUGCAUGUGAUUCAAAUGCAGCGGUUAUUGUUGUAUUUUUCUUGUUUGAUUGAAUAUAAUAAAAAGUCUUGCCGGUAUGAAUAAUUUGUUUAGUUUUAUUUAGUUAGAAAUUGUAUAUCUAAAUUUGUUAUUUUACAUAUAUAAUUGUGAGAUCAUCUCUAAUGUGUGUGUGUGUGUGUGUGAACGCAUGCAUGGGAGUCCGGCUAUGGUAUUUUUAAAAGCACCAAGCACUUGAUGUUUAUAAGUUUUCCAUCCUUAGAUCUAUCCUUCUGACUAAUUUGAUUUAAAUUAUGUUAUUUCACCAAUCGGACACUCAACUUUAGGAGGCCAUGUGCGUAGAGUCCGGCUAUAGUGCUUUUAAAAGCACCAAGGUAGUCGGUGCUUAUAAAUUUUUUACUGUUAGAUAAAUAUUUUUGAUCAAUUUCAUCUCUUAAAUUAUGUGUUAUUUCACCAACCACUCUAAGAAUCAUGUGCUCAUAUUUGUGGCCACAGAUUAUUCUACGGAGUGGGUUGAGGCUGUGCCACAUUUUUGUUUCUGCUUCUGUCCGAUACCGAGAUUCUAAUGAUCCGAACUGUUAAGAUGAGGCCUUCUUCUCCACUUGACUCAAGGCGGGGCCCCCUACACACUGUUUGGUUCAGAGUUAAAGCCGCGGGGGCGGGGGGGGUGGGGGGGGGGGGGGGGGGGAGAGAGAUAAGGGUUUAAUUUUUUUAUUUAUAAUUUAUAAUUUAUAAUUUAAAAUAAAUUUAAAUUUUUAUAAGUUUAAAAUUGAUAUUUAUAAAUUUAAAUUAUUAAUUUAAUUUUUUAAAUUUAAAAUUUGAUAUUUGAUAUUUUUAAAUUUAAAUUUAAUCUAAAAACAAAAAUUUAGAACUUUAAAUUUUUGAAUUUGAGAUUUAAAAUUUUAAUUUUUAUUUUGAAUUUUUUAGUUUUUUAAUUUUCAAAGUUAUAUAUUUAAAUUUAAAAUUUUAAUUAUAAAAUUUAAAAAUUUAAAUUCAAAUAUAAGGAGCAAUAUUAUUAUUUUCUAUUUAUAAUUAUCCAUUAUUCUUUUUAUUCUAUCUUAUCUAUUCAAACGCUAUUUUUCUUAUUUUCGAAAACUUAAUUUUAUCAUCUAAACGCAAAAUUGAUCUAUUUUAGGCUUAACCUUGAACUUAUACUUAUUUCUGAAAUAACUAGCUCUUAGUUAAUUUCGAACCGUACAAAGCCUAAGAGAUCACUAUUAAUCUAAACAUAGAUUUAUCCAAAGGUCGAAAACUUUCAAGCACUAAUAACUUAGUGCACAAUAACCUCAAUCUGGUACCUCUCUUUUGUCACUAGUCUUACUAUUUUUUUUUUUUGUUUUUAAUUCUCAACGCUUUUAGAAGAGUAGUUGUAUGGAUUACAACUUUUUUGGGUGGUAGACUUAGUAUUUUUCGAAAAGAAAGAGGAGUCUUAAACCUAUAACUUAUUUUGAAUUGCAAAAAAAAGAUUGGCUAGUUUUGCAUUUUUACAAAAAAGGCCACAUUUUUUAUUUCUACAUAUUUUAAUUGAUUUUUUUUUUUUCAAAUUCAUUAAAAUACUCAUAUUUUCUUUCUCUCCUUGCUUUCUUUCUCAUUUUAUUUCCCCUCACUCCUUCAUCGUCCCCAUGUCGCUGUCACACUCCUCCCCAACCUCACGGACGAGCGAAAGUACGAUGACGAAGCUGGGCUCACUCGUGGCUGUUGCUGUUUUUGGCGUUCUCCGAUAAGGUCGCCGUGAUAGAGGCAAGGGGGGCGCCGCUUGGAGCAUCGCCAGAGAUAGAAACGGAGGUCGCAAAGGUAGAGGGCUAUAAUUGCUAGUCAAGAAUGCUCAUGAAGCAUAUUCGCAAGCGGGUUCAGAAGCAUGACCGAUGAUAACCAGAUGAUGGCGAUAAUGAGAGAGAAAAAUCUAGCGGACGACGCGAUGUUGCACGAUGUAAAAAAAGUUGCACUAUUUGAACAUAAAAUUGUACUAUUUGAUACGUAUAAUAAAAUAUAAAAUAGUAUAAUUUUUUUCUAAAUAGUUCAAUUUUUUCAAAUAGUGCAAUAUCAAAUCGUUCCUUAGAUUUUUUUUUCUCUCAUUACCGCCGCCACCUUGUUGCUGCCAGUCGUGCUUGCGCACAAACAUGCUUUCAAAGCAUUCUCAACUAAUGACCGUCGCACUACUUCUCUGCCACCUCUGUCUCCAUUUCGGGCGAGGCUAUAAGCAACUACGAUGAUGAGCAGGUCAAGUUCACCAUUUUCCUCUCACUCGUGAGGUACAGCACGACGUAGGCUAGGUGGAGUUAAUGUGGAGACCGCGAAGGUAGAACGAGAGCUCGAAGCUGCCACCGGUGGCGGAGACGUGGGCCCAUGAGGAGCAGAAUAGGAAAGAUGAAUUGUUUAAGGCAGAGUAAUAUUUUGGCCCAUUUUCAAAAAUUUUGACAUGUAUAUAUAAAAAUAAGAAAUAUGACAUUUUAUUAAAAUACAAGACUAGUGAUUAUUUUAUUUUAUUAUUUAUUUAUUUUUGCAAAACAGUGGAUUGUAAUCCUACAGCAAUCCCAAUAAUAUAACUACUGAACGAAUCACUUGAAAAAGACUGGAAGCUAGAAAGACAAUACAUCUUUAUUUAAUCCUGCAGCUCCAGUAUCUCGCAACAUUUUCUACGAAGAGCAAAUAACGACGGGUAAAAGCAUAUAUAGUGACAUAGAACCCCGUGAAUCGUAACAAAGUUCAGUCACAUGAUGGUGCAGGUGUACUGAUCGGAAUCUUCCUCGUAGACGACAUUGUAGCCGGCGCCGUUGCACCAGGGUCCACCACUGCCGCUGCAGCCGCAGCGGCAGCCGCCACCGCUGCCGCCACCUCCACCGUUGCCAUCACUGCAGCCGCAGCGGCAGCCGACACUGUCGCUGCGGCGGNAAAUGGCCGCAGCCGUAGCCGCAGCCGCAGCCGCAGCCGCAGCCGCAGCCGCAGUGGCAGCUAUCUGGGGGGACCCAUCCGCUGUCCUCCUUCCCGCACGAGCAGCACCGGCGCACUCCUCUCCCUCCUCGGCAGUCGUACCACGGGCACGGGCACGGCUGCUGGCAGCAGCCCGGCCACACCGGAUAAGGAUACGGCACCCCCACUAGCUUUGUCUUCGUCGGCGGCGGAGGGGUCGGGGGCGGCGGCGUUGGCGGUGGAGAGGGAGGAGGGGGCGGCGGAGGCGGAGGCGGAGGCGGAGGGGGCGGGGGCGGCGGUGGAGGAGGAGGAGGAGCAGGAGGAGGAGGGAUCUGGACGUCCUUGAUCACCUUGCAGGCCAUGCAAAGCAGCUUCUUUGACAGGCGCUCGGGAUCGAAAGGGCCGGAAAUUUUGACGGUGUUCUUCUUCUCGUCGUAUACGAUGGUCUGGAUCUUCUCUCGUUCUCCACGUUAUUAACAAAAAUUAAUGCAGUCAAAAAGGACGAAGAGAGAAUGCGAAAUAACUAUUUUUUUCCGAAAAUUUAAACUAUCCGAGAAUUUCAACUCUAAGACUUUUUAUUCUAAUACUAUGUUAAAAUAUGCGGCGAUAGCUGCUGUUCUCCACAAAUUUAUGCUGACAAGAGAGCAGCUUUUUUCUGAUAUUUUAUAUUCGACAAGUGCACGGAAAGCUUGAAUAAUUGAGAAUACCUUGGAGCUUGCACAGAACCUUUUUGAUCUUUUUGUUGCAGCGGCAGCAUUCCAGGUCUACUUUUAGGAUUAAUGUGGAGACCUGCAGUUGUGCAGUCGCAGAAGUAAAAGAGAUUGGCACACACUAGGAAUGUGAAAAGUUAAAACAGAUCGGCACUUUGUAUACUAAGGCAAAUUUAAGAUUCUGCAGACCAUGGACUGAGCACUGCAGAACAGAAAAAAAAAAAAAAGAAACUGCAAUAAUACACCCAGAGAAAGCAAUCAAACGAGCAAGCCUUCAACUGGUCGUUUCUGUUUAUCUCUAAAAUGAAGCAUCAAUGAGAUUCUAAUUAACUCAACAUCUUCUGCAUACUGAGAAACCUGCUGUUUGUUACUACUUGAUGUAAAUUUGAUUUUUUAUUCAGUGAAAAUACUUGGUUAGCUUUCGGAAAAAAAUUGAAAAAAGAAAUAUCAGAGAUUUGGAAAUUUGAGCACCUUCUCAGCCAUUGCUUAAACCGAUUGAUCCGAAGAUCAGAGAGAGAGAGAGAGAGAGAGAGAGAGAGAGAGGAAUGAGGGGAACAAGGGGAAUCAGGCCUCUCUCAUUUCGCCAUGUAAAUUGGAGUUAAAUCAUAAUUAGAUUACAAUAGAAUAUUAUCUAUCUAUACCUGUAUAUUAUUGCUUAUAAACUUUGCCUUCUUGACCGUUGCCUUUUUUUUUUUUUUUUCCUUCAUAAUGAUCAAAUUUAUUAUUUUUCAUCACCAUGCGAUUUUUUGUCUUCCCACCUGUGCUCUUCCUAAUUAAUAUGUUCACAUGCUUCAUUAUUUUCUACACAAAUCAAUUUUAUAAAAAAAAUAAAUUUUUUUUUUAGAGGGGACACAAUAAAAAUUCAUAUUUUAUUAUUUUUUUAAUUUUUUCUCUCUUUUUUUUAAAUUGGGUGCUAUGAAAUUAGGGUUACGAGAAUCGUAGCGUGACAAGUAGGAGGAAGUAGCGAUGAAUUUGGAGUCGGUGGGGGAAAAAAACGAUGAGUCUGAAAGAUCUGUACAGGAUCGACGUGGCUGUAACUAAAGAGGAGCUCGAUGCUGACAAUGGCAGCGAAUGCGACGUGGAUUAGAAUUCGCCUUCCCGAUAUCGACAGCGCAAUUAAGGUGCUUAUAGAGAGUAGUGAUCUACUAUUUCUUUUAUUAUUCUUAUACGUAAAUUAUUUAUUGAAAGUAUAAAUUUUGUUAUAUCUAUUUCAUAUUUUUUAUUUAUAUUUAUUAAUUUCUCAUAACAAGUAAAAAAAAUGUAAAUUUAUUUUAUCUUGUCAAUUUUUUAUUUUUUAUAACAUCAAUCCACCCUAAUGUACAAAUAACUUCACUAGUUUAACAUUAUAAGAGAUAAACCGGAGGACUCCAAAUUAUGUUGGAGCUUAGGGUACACUUUAUUCGUCAGUGAGUGCUCUGGUGGAGCCCGUACGGGUUAGUGAGAGCGAGUGAGAGUUACGCGCACCUCGUAGAAACCGAAAAGAAUAAGGUCUCAAGGGGACCCUUCAAAGUGAACCCAAAGCAUCUUCCUUUUCCUUUACGUAGUUUCACCAGUAACAUCUUACAUCGUCAAAAAAUGGAGAUGUGACGCCACAUUUCCUAUAGGAUCAUCUAUUAUAAAAUUAAUUUUCAUUUUAGCAUACUUAAUUUUUCUAAUCCUUUUAAUUUAAUCACCGUCCAAUAUAUCAUAAUUGAGUUGAAAAAUUUAGCUCUAUUAUAUUUUAUAUAUGAGAAUAUUUUAAAUUCUAAAGUGUCACAAGAAGAUAUUUAUUGUUUGCAAUAAAAUUAAUUAAAAAGAUUUGUGGAGAUGAUCUAAUGGCGGCGGGGAGAAAUCCUUAAUCUUUGUUUAGAGCAAACGCUCGAUGAACAACCGAAAAUGAACCGUAAUUCCCCAUUAGUCCCAUCAUUUUUUUUAUUCUUUUUGUUUAAGAAUCAAAAAGGGGUUAGUAAAUCCCCAAACCAACAUUAUCAGGAGUCGAAGCAUGAAAUGAACUUUUUCGAUCUGAUUCUUCAGGCACAAGCAUUCGCCGAUCAUGGGGUUCGAAGCAUGUUAUUCUAGGAACAGAUUCUUUAUUUCGUGGAAAUCUAUUGAAGAUUCUCAGGGAGAUAAAUACCAUCUUCGUGAGUUCUCUUGCGCGGCCCGGAAACAACCUUCAUAAGUUCCAUCCUUAAUGAUUGGUUGUUUCUCACAUAGUUUUGUAGGAUUAGGGCAGAUAAUUUUGGAGAGAAUUAAAGUAGAAUAUAACAAGAAGAGCAACAAAAAUAUACGUGGUUCGGCUUAGCCUCUCAAAAAAGUAUAAAAGAAAGUGCUAAAUUAUGUAAAAUAAUUGUUUUUGCAAAAAAACUAACUGUCCCUAGAGUAAGUGGCAAAGAUCUUGGUGGUUGGUCCCCAAGGUUCCAAAAUCGAAUCCUAGUUGAUUCACAUUUCUAGCUAAGUUUAUUUUCAAAUGAAAAAAAUAAAGCGGGUAUCGUGCUACCUAUUUCUCAAAAAAAAAAUUGUUUUUGCAAAAAAUGUUAAGUUGAAAAAAAAAUGAUGUUUUUAUUAUUCAAUGCUUCCCUCACGUUUAGACUUGAGAAUGAUAUUUUUAUUAUUUAACAUAGACUUUUUUUUUAAAAAAAAAAAGGCUUUCUUCAUAAAAAAGAAAAACUCAUAUAUUCUAAUUUUCUGUCUAUUUAGCUUUUAAAAUAACUAAUUUUUCUUGAAAUUUGUUUUGCUCACAGUUUAUGAGAAACCAUGUUUUCGUUUUCGAUUAUUUUUCCCCGGAAAACAACCGUGUUUUCCCAUUAAUUUUCAUAAGAAAAACUACAAAAUAAAGGCACUGACAAAUAUGAGAAAAACGCCAAGUUAGAUGAGUUUGCUAGAUACUUCAUGUUUCCCCCGUAGCCAUCCAGAUAAGAUCUUUUAAGGAUGGCCAAAAAUGUGAAGAUUGCAAUUUUUGCUAGGGUUCUAUAAGCAUUCAUGCAUCUUGUCGAAGUCGAAGAAGAAGAGAAGAGAGGUUUCCAAUUUAUUUCAAAUUAUAAUGUGCGCUAAUAUAACGUUUAUGGAGUAAGGGACUCAAACUAAGGACAGUUAAAUAAUGUCAUGAGGCUGAUGGGACUCGAAUUCAUAACCUUAUAUUCUGACGUUUUCUAGAACUAAAAAUGUGGGCUUAAUCAAAUGGGAAAAAAUUAAAUAGUAAUAGAAACUUAAUAAAAUUCGAACUCAUGAACCUCAUGUUUAGAUAUCUAGUUUUGUGGAGCUUCGACUCUAAGCCCCCGUUUGGUUGGGGAUUAAGAGGGGGGGUGGGGUGGUGGUGGUGGUGGGGCGGUUAAGAGGGUUAUUCCUCCUUUAACCCUAAACAAAAAAUUUGGGGGAGCUAACCCCACCUCAAGAAUAGGGGUGGGAUUAAGUUAAUCCCACCCCUAUUUAAUUUUUUUAAUANUACGUCAUUUUAAAAAAUUUAAUUUAAAAUUUUGAAUUGACAACUUUUAAAUUUUAAAAUUUGAAUUUUAAUUUUGAAUUUUGAAUUUUGAAUUUUAAAUUUUAAAUUAUUAUUUUUAAUUUUUUUAAAUUAUAAAUUUGACAUUUUAUAUUUGUAACUUUAAAUUUUUAAAUUUGAGAUUUAAAAAUAAAAUUUUAAAUUUUAAAUUUUAAAUUAUUAUUUUUAAUUAUUUAAAAUUUAAAUUUAAAUUCAAAUAUAAAAAUUGGGACCAAAUUAUUAUUUUGUAUUUAUAAUAAUUCACUAUCCUUCUUAUUCCACCUACUCUAAUCAAACACUAUUUUAUCUAUACCCGCAUUAAAACCAAUUUUCAACCAAAUACAAAAUUAUUCUAAUCCCACCUUAAUCCUGAACUUAACUCUAUUUCUAGAAUAACUAGUUCUUACUUAACCCUGAACCAAACGAAGCCCAAAGAAAAUUAAAUAAUGUUAGAAGUUACGUUUGAUAGAAUUCGAAUUCAAAACAUCAUGGUCUGUUGUCAUAUUAAAUUAUAUAAAAUAACUAUUUAUCUCUAAAAGAUUAUGCCACUAAAGAAAUGUUUAUAUAUAUAUAUAUAUAUAGGACUUUUUUAUAAAACAACCCUCUAAAAUUUUGAAAUUUGUAAAAUAACCCUCUCAAAAUUUUAUUUGGCAAACUAACCCUCCUUUCGCCAUGUCGGCGCCACGUCAGAAUUUUUUUUAAAGGCGGUGAAUCGUUCACCGCUUUCUCCCAUUUCUUUUAAAAGCGGUGAAUCGUUCACCGCUUUCUCCUAUUUCUUUAAAGACGGUGAAUCAUUCACCACCUUUCACUUAUUCACUAUUUCUUUCUAUAUCCCAUAUAUAAUCCCAACAACCACAUAAAAAUUCUAACAAAUCAUAUAUAAUCUUAACAACCUUUAAAUCCUAAUAAUUUAUCCAUAUAAUUUCAUAUAAUCUUAACAGCCUGAAAAUCCUAAUAAUCUAUCUAUACAAUCCUAAUAAUCAAAUAAAAAUUCUAAUGAUCCACAUAUAAUCCUAACAACCUCACUUUUUUCUAUUUCCUAUAUAAUUCACGCACAAUUUUAAUGAAUGCGGUGAACGAUUUACCGCUUUAAAAGAAAUAGGAGAAAGCGGUGAACGAUUCACCGCUUUUAAAAGAAAUGGGAGAAAGCGGUGAACGAUUCACCGCCUUUAAAAUAAAAUUAAAUAAAUUAAAAAUUUUAAAUGUGUCGAUUAAUAAGUUGAAAAAUUAUUGAAAAAUAUAAAAAUAUUAUAUAUAUCUACUUAUUUAUUUAUAAAUAGUAAUUUAAAUAAUUAAUAAAUUUAUACAAUUAUUUUAUGUUUAGUGAAGGUAACCUCACCACUCUAUCUGAACAGGUGACAAAAUUCAUAAAUACAACUAUCAGCUUCAUAUUACCAAACAGAAGAAAUGUAACUGCAGCAGUUGCAACUGCGUAAAACCAAACAGACUAGGUGUAGUUACAACUGCAGCAUUUGCAACUGCAUAUAUUUCCAACUACACUGUUUCUGCAACUACAUCCAACCAAACGGCCCCUAAGAGUAUUAUUUAAUCCUAGGGGAGACCGCAAUCAUCCCAACCAUACAAUUUUUAAUCAAAAGUCAAAAAUUCAAAAACAUCAAAUCCUUAUAUUUUCGAUAGCAUAGUAUAUAUAUAUAUAGAGUCCGGCUACUAUACUAUUGAUAGUACAAGCCUUUGGUACUAUAGAGUUUUCUACCGUUAGAUCUACCCUGUGAUUAUUUCCACCCGUUAGAUUAUACUAUUAAACCAACCACCCACUCAACCCUAGGAGACCACUAUCAUCCUAACCGCACAUCCUUUCAUCCAACAGCCAAAAACUCAAUAGUACAAGGGCUUGGUACUAUUAAUAGUAUAGGAGCUAAUUAUAUAUAUAUAUAUAUAUAUAUAUAUAUAUAUAUAUAUAUAUAAUAUAUAUAUAUAUAUAUAUAUAUAUAUAUAUAUAUAUAUAUAUUUAUUAAAAUAUAUAAAUAUAAUAUAUUUUAAUUAUAUAUAGGCUGAGUGAAUAAUCUGAGUUUAGUUAAAAUUGAGUCAAUAUUGUUGGCCCAUAAAAACAAACCAAUAGACAAAUAAAAGAGCAAAAUUUUACUAAAUUUAUAUAUUUUUCCUUUCUUUCUUUCUUUCACAGAGCUCUCAAUUUUCAAUAUGUUUCUCUCUUUCUCUUUUUCUGUCUCUCACCCUAAGUGGCCAAGCGGAAAGCCCUCUAAGUUACCAAGUAACAUCAUAUGCCCACCGUUGCCUAUCUUAUUAUUAAUUGUAUGCUUGAGAAAAUAUACAGAAUAUUUUUAAAGUAAAAAAUUAUUAUUCAUAUAAAAUUUUAACUUUAGUUAUAUAUGAUUGGAUAGUUUAAUCCAAUACUUAUCUAUAUAAUUUAUUUAUUUUUUACUGCAUAAAUGAAAAUGAAUAAUAUAGAAAUUGAAGGUAAAAGAAAAGACAUGUAAGACUGAAAAAAUUAGAUAUUCAACUCAUAAAUUAUUUUUUUCAUAUUAUAUACUAUAUUUCAUAUAAUUUUUUGCACUUUGAAUUAUUAGACAUAUUUUUGUAUCAAAUUAUAGAUAAUAUUUUAUAUAAAUUAAACUAUUGAUCGUAUAAUGUCGAGAAUUUCAAGCGGCUCGUUUAAGGCUCGAGCUCACUCGACUUGAAAUUAGGCUCGCUCGGAGCUCANNNNNNNNNNNNNNNNNNNNNNNNNNNNNNNNNNNNNNNNNNNNNNNNNNNNNNNNNNNNNNNNNNNNNNNNNNNNNNNNNNNNNNNNNNNNNNNNNNNNNNNNNNNNNNNNNNNNNNNNNNNNNNNNNNNNNNNNNNNNNNNNNNNNNNNNNNNNNNNNNNNNNNNNNNNNNNNNNNNNNNNNNNNNNNNNNNNNNNNNNNNNNNNNNNNNNNNNNNNNNNNNNNNNNNNNNNNNNNNNNNNNNNNNNNNNNNNNNNNNNNNNNNNNNNNNNNNNNNNNNNNNNNNNNNNNNNNNNNNNNNNNNNNNNNNNNNNNNNNNNNNNNNNNNNNNNNNNNNNNNNNNNNNNNNNNNNNNNNNNNNNNNNNNNNNNNNNNNNNNNNNNNNNNNNNNNNNNNNNNNNNNNNNNNNNNNNNNNNNNNNNNNNNNNNNNNNNNNNNNNNNNNNNNNNNNNNNNNNNNNNNNNNNNNNNNNNNNNNNNNNNNNNNNNNNNNNNNNNNNNNNNNNNNNNNNNNNNNNNNNNNNNNNNNNNNNNNNNNNNNNNNNNNNNNNNNNNNNNNNNNNNNNNNNNNNNNNNNNNNNNNNNNNNNNNNNNNNNNNNNNNNNNNNNNNNNNNNNNNNNNNNNNNNNNNNNNNNNNNNNNNNNNNNNNNNNNNNNNNNNNNNNNNNNNNNNNNNNNNNNNNNNNNNNNNNNNNNNNNNNNNNNNNNNNNNNNNNNNNNNNNNNNNNNNNNNNNNNNNNNNNNNNNNNNNNNNNNNNNNNNNNNNNNNNNNNNNNNNNNNNNNNNNNNNNNNNNNNNNNNNNNNNNNNNNNNNNNNNNNNNNNNNNNNNNNNNNNNNNNNNNNNNNNNNNNNNNNNNNNNNNNNNNNNNNNNNNNNNNNNNNNNNNNNNNNNNNNNNNNNNNNNNNNNNNNNNNNNNNNNNNNNNNNNNNNNNNNNNNNNNNNNNNNNNNNNNNNNNNNNNNNNNNNNNNNNNNNNNNNNNNNNNNNNNNNNNNNNNNNNNNNNNNNNNNNNNNNNNNNNNNNNNNNNNNNNNNNNNNNNNNNNNNNNNNNNNNNNNNNNNNNNNNNNNNNNNNNNNNNNNNNNNNNNNNNNNNNNNNNNNNNNNNNNNNNNNNNNNNNNNNNNNNNNNNNNNNNNNNNNNNNNNNNNNNNNNNNNNNNNNNNNNNNNNNNNNNNNNNNNNNNNNNNNNNNNNNNNNNNNNNNNNNNNNNNNNNNNNNNNNNNNNNNNNNNNNNNNNNNNNNNNNNNNNNNNNNNNNNNNNNNNNNNNNNNNNNNNNNNNNNNNNNNNNNNNNNNNNNNNNNNNNNNNNNNNNNNNNNNNNNNNNNNNNNNNNNNNNNNNNNNNNNNNNNNNNNNNNNNNNNNNNNNNNNNNNNNNNNNNNNNNNNNNNNNNNNNNNNNNNNNNNNNNNNNNNNNNNNNNNNNNNNNNNNNNNNNNNNNNNNNNNNNNNNNNNNNNNNNNNNNNNNNNNNNNNNNNNNNNNNNNNNNNNNNNNNNNNNNNNNNNNNNNNNNNNNNNNNNNNNNNNNNNNNNNNNNNNNNNNNNNNNNNNNNNNNNNNNNNNNNNNNNNNNNNNNNNNNNNNNNNNNNNNNNNNNNNNNNNNNNNNNNNNNNNNNNNNNNNNNNNNNNNNNNNNNNNNNNNNNNNNNNNNNNNNNNNNNNNNNNNNNNNNNNNNNNNNNNNNNNNNNNNNNNNNNNNNNNNNNNNNNNNNNNNNNNNNNNNNNNNNNNNNNNNNNNNNNNNNNNNNNNNNNNNNNNNNNNNNNNNNNNNNNNNNNNNNNNNNNNNNNNNNNNNNNNNNNNNNNNNNNNNNNNNNNNNNNNNNNNNNNNNNNNNNNNNNNNNNNNNNNNNNNNNNNNNNNNNNNNNNNNNNNNNNNNNNNNNNNNNNNNNNNNNNNNNNNNNNNNNNNNNNNNNNNNNNNNNNNNNNNNNNNNNNNNNNNNNNNNNNNNNNNNNNNNNNNNNNNNNNNNNNNNNNNNNNNNNNNNNNNNNNNNNNNNNNNNNNNNNNNNNNNNNNNNNNNNNNNNNNNNNNNNNNNNNNNNNNNNNNNNNNNNNNNNNNNNNNNNNNNNNNNNNNNNNNNNNNNNNNNNNNNNNNNNNNNNNNNNNNNNNNNNNNNNNNNNNNNNNNNNNNNNNNNNNNNNNNNNNNNNNNNNNNNNNNNNNNNNNNNNNNNNNNNNNNNNNNNNNNNNNNNNNNNNNNNNNNNNNNNNNNNNNNNNNNNNNNNNNNNNNNNNNNNNNNNNNNNNNNNNNNNNNNNNNNNNNNNNNNNNNNNNNNNNNNNNNNNNNNNNNNNNNNNNNNNNNNNNNNNNNNNNNNNNNNNNNNNNNNNNNNNNNNNNNNNNNNNNNNNNNNNNNNNNNNNNNNNNNNNNNNNNNNNNNNNNNNNNNNNNNNNNNNNNNNNNNNNNNNNNNNNNNNNNNNNNNNNNNGAAAUGGGAGAAAACGGCGAACGAUUCACCGUCUUUGUAAGGAAACCCUGACGUGGCACCCACGUGGCGAAGGAGGGUUAGUUUUACAAAUAAAUUUUUACAGGGUCAUUUUGCCAAUUUCAAUUUUGGAGGGUCAUUUUAUAAAAAAGCCCUAUAUAUAUAUUAUAUUAUAUAUCUCGAGCUCGGCUCGAAUUAAUUUCAAUCCAAGCUUGAGCUUAAAUUUAGACUCGAAAUUAAUUUCAAGCCGAAUUUGAGCCGAGGUAAGCUCGCUCGAGCUCGGCUCGUUUCCACCCCUAAGUACAGUGGAGCAUAUACUUAUAAAAUUUUAUUUUUACUUUUUUUUUUUCAAAAUUUAUAAUUUAAUAUAAUAGAUAUUAUAUUUAAUGCUAUUUUUUUUUACAAAAGUUGUAGGCAAAAAUUAUUAUUAUUUUUUUGUUUUAAGAAGUGCUUUGAAGAUAGUCAAAUCUGCUUGCAUAGACAUAAUCUAUAGUAUUUAAAGAGAUAAGAAUAAAAAUUUAAAAUUUAAAAUCUCUCAUUUAUAAAUAUUUUAACUUUUAUAUAAAAAUUAUUGGUAGAAGCGUACACACUUAUUUAAACUGCAAAUCAUUUUGAAUUGACUAUCCAAUUUUUCAAAAUUUUAAUUUUACUAUUCAAUCUUUUUAGUUUCAAAUUUUAAAUGCGUCGUUUGUUUUUACAGAUUUAGUUAACAUACUUUUAUAUAUAUAUAUAUAUAUAUAUAUAGAGUUUUGCUAGAAUACUAUCGGUAGUAAACGGCUCGGUUUACUACCGAUUUGUUUUCAAUGAUAGAGCUUCCAAAUUGAUGAUUGGCACCGUUAAACAUAAUCUAAACUAUUUAAACUAUGUGGAAAUCAAAUUUUACACAUUUUCGAUAUUGUUCUCUUGUUCAUCAAGUGAACAGAAAAAUGAAUGGCUGGAAAUGAAUAUCCUUUAAAAAGUAAUGAUACAAUUUUUAUAUUUGAGAUCUAGAGUCUAGAUUUUAUUUUAAAUAGUUUAAAGAAUUUUUUAACAAAAAUUUAGUUGAUUUGAACUCUUCUACACCGUUAAAGAGCAAACGCACUAUAUUGGCCAUUAAAAUUAUAGAUUUUGUGACCUUUUGAUCGUUCAGUUAGUGAUGCCAAAAAAUCAUGAAAUUUGAUUUCUAGCUAAUUUAAAUGGUCUAGAUCAUGUGAGGGAUUAGGAUGCACACCAUUUGUAAAUUAACAAUAAUAAAUAAAUAAAUAAAUAGCUAAAUAAAUAAAUAAUAUAUGUAUUAUAGGUAAAUAAAAAAUACUUAUAAAUAAACUCAUACUAAUAAAAUUUUUGCAAAAAAUUAAUUUUUUUAAAUUUAUUUUAUUUAAAAUAUAAAUAUAGUUUUUUUUCUAAAUUUUUAUAGAAUUGGAUGUUUAUGUUAAUUUAAUAAGUUUUAAUUAAUUAUAAUUAUUAAAUUUGAUAAAAAAAAAAUGAGAGAAACCGUUUAAAAAUUUUUUAAGUUUGAUUUACAUAUUAAAUUAAAUAAAUUAAAAAUUUUAAAUGUGUCGAUUAAUAAGUUGAAAAAUUAUUGAAAAAUAUAAAAAUAUUAUAUAUAUUACUUAUUUAUUUAUAAAUAGUAAUUUAAAUAUUAAUAAAUUUAUACAAUUAUUUUAUGUUUUUAGUUGAAGGUAACCUCACCACUCUAUCUGAACAGGUGACAAAAUUCAUAAAUACAACUAUCAGCUUCAUAUUACCAAACAGAAGAAAUGUAACUGCAGCAGUUGCAACUGCGUAAAACCAAACAGACAUAGGUGUUCUGAGUUACAACUGCAGCAUUCUGCAACUGCAUAUAUUUUCCAAUACACGUCUGCAACUACAUCCAACCAAACGGCCCCUAAGAGUUUAUUUAAUCCUAGGGAGACCGCAAUUCAUCCCAACCAUACAAUUUUUAAUCAAAAGUCAAAAUUCAAAAACAUCAAAUCUCUAUAUUUUUCGAUAGCAUAGUAUAUUAUAUAUAGAGUCCGGCUACUAUACUAUUGAUAGUACCAAGCCUUUGUACUAUAGCAUGUUUUCUACCGUUAGAUUUACCUGUGAUUAUUUCCACCCGUUAGAUUAUAUAUUAAACCAACCACCACUCAACCCUAGGAGACCACUAUCAUCCUAACCGCACAUCCUUUCAUCAACAGCCAAAAACUCAAUAGUCCAAGGGCUUGGUAUAUUAAUAGUAUAGGAGCAUAAUUAUAUAUAUAUAUAUAUAUUAUAUAAUAAUAAUAUUAUAUAUAUAUAUAUAUAUAUUAUAUAUAUAUAUAUAUAUAUAUAUAUAUUUAUUAAAAUAUAUAAAUAUAAUAUAUUUUAAUUAUAUAUAGGCUGAGUGAAUAAUCUCGAGUUUAGUUAAAAUUGAGUCAAUAUUGUUUGGCCCAUAAAAACAAACCAAUAGACAAAUAAAAGAGCAAAAUUUACUAAAUUUAUAUAUUUUUCCUUUCUUUCUUCUUUCACAGAGGCUCUCAAUUUUCAAUAUGUUCUCUCUUUCUCUUUUUUUCUGUCUCUCACCCUAAGUGGCCAAGCGAAGCCCCUCUAAGUUACCAAGUAACAUCAUAUGCCCACCGUGCCUAUCUUAUUUAUUAAUUGUAUGCUUGAGAAAAUAUACAGAAUAUUUUUAAAGUAAAAAAUUUAUAUUCAUAUAAAAUUUUAACUUUAGUUAUAUAGAUUGGAUAGUUUAAUCCAAUAUUAUCUAUAUAAUUUAUUUAUUUUUUACUGCAUAAAUGAAAAUGAAUAAUAUAGAAAUGAAGGUAAAGAGAAAAGACAUGUAAGACUGAAAAAAAUUAGAUAUUCAACUCAUAAAUUAUUUUUUUCAUAUUUAAUACUAUAUUUCAUAUAAUUAUUUUGCACUUUGAAUUAUUAGAAUAUUUUUGUAUCAAAUUAUAGAUAAUAUUUUAUAUAAAUUAAACUAUUGAUCGUAUAAUGUCGAGAAUUUCAAGCGGGCUCGUUUAAGCUCGAGCUCACUCGACUGAAAUUAGGCUCGCUCGGCUCGGCUCGAAUUAAUUUCAAUCCAAGCUUGAGCUUAAAUUUAGACUCGAAAAUUAAUUUCAAGCCGAAUUUGAGCGAGGUAAGCUCGCUCGAGCUCGGCUCGUUUCCACCCCUAAGUACAGUGGAGCAUAUACUUAUAAAAUUUUAUUUUUACUUUUUUUUUUCAAAAAUUUAUAAUUUAAUAUAAUAGAAUAUUAUAUUUAAUGCUAUUUUUUUUUACAAAAGUUGUAGGCAAAAUUAUUCAUUAUUUUUUUGUUUUAAGAAGUGCUUUGAAGAUAGUCAAAUCUGCUUGCAUAGACAUAAUUCAUAUAGUAUUUAAAGAGAUAAGAAUAAAAAUUUUAAAAUUUAAAAUCUCUCAUUUAUAAAUAUUUUAACUUUUUAUAUAAAAAUAUUGGUAGAAGCGUACACACUUAUUUAAACUGCAAAUCAUUUGAAUUGACUAUCCAAUUUUUCAAAAUUUUAAUUUUACUAUUCAAUCUUUUAGUUUCAAAUUUUAAAUGCGUCGUUGUUUUUUUACAGAUUUAGUUAACAUACUUUUAUAUAUAUAUAUAUAUAUAUAUAUAGAGUUUUGCUAGAAUACUAUCGGUAGUAAACGGCUCGGUUUACUACCGAUUUGUUUUCAAUGAUAGAGCUUCCAAAUUGAUGAUUGCACCGUUAAACAUAAUCUAAACUAUUUAAACUAUGUGGAAAUCAAAUUUUACACUAUUUCGAUAUUGUUCUCUUGUUCAUCAAGUGAACAGAAAAUAAAUGGCUGGAAAUGAAUAUCCUUUAAAAAGUAAUGAUACAAUUUUUAUAUUUGAGAUCUAGAGUCUAGAUUUUAUUUUAAAUAGUUUAAAGAAUUUUUUAACAAAAUUUAGUUUAUUUGAACUCUUCUACACCGUUAAAGAGCAAACGCACUAUAUUGGCCAUUAAAAUUAUAGAUUUUGUACCUUUUGAUCUUCAGUUAGUGAUGCCAAAAAAUCAUGAAAUUUGAUUUCUAGCUAAUUUAAAUGGUCUAGAUCAUGUUCAACGGUGCCGAUCGUCGAUUUGGAAGCUCUAUCAUCAAAAAUAAAUCGGUAGUAAACAGAGCAGUUUACUACGAUAGUAGCCCAGUCAAACUCCCUCCCCCUCUCUCUCUCUCUCUCUCUCUCUCUCUCUCUCUCUCUCUCUAUCUAUAUAUAUAUAUAUAUAUAGAGAGAGAGAGAGAGAGAGAGAGAGGAGAGAAAGGAUGAGCUCUUAUGCUUUAAAAGUACCAAGUUAUUGGUACUUACAGAUUUUUUGCCUUUGAUUAAGAAAUAUGCAGUUAGGAUGAUGUGAGCCCCCUAGGGUGGAGUGGGUGGUUGGUUGAAUGGUAUAAUUUAACGGGUGAAAAUGAUCAAGAUGUAAUCUAACGGUAAAAAAUUACAAGUACCAAAUACUUGGUGCUUUUAUAAGCACUAUAGCCAGACUCGUNNNNNNNNNNNNNNNNNNNNNNNNNUAUGUUCAACGUGCGAUCGUCGAUUUGGAACUCCAUCAUCAAGAAAUAAAUCGUAGUAAACAGCAGCUUUCACUACCGAUAGGUGGUUGACCCAGAUUCUCAACCUCCCUCCCCCCUCUCUCUCUCUCUUCUCUCUCUCUCUCUCUCUUCUCUCUCCUAAUAUAUAUAUAUAUCUAUAGAGAUCAGAUGACCGAGAACGAGAGAUUUUUUUUUGAUAUUUUUAUAAUUUUGUAGGUCUUCUUGAUCUAAAUGGUAUCUGUAUAUAUUUGUUGUACUACAGUUUUUCCUUGAUUAGAAAUAUUGCUUAGAUGAUUGAGCCACUAGGUGGACGGGUGGUGGUGAAUGGAUAUAAUUUAACGGGGUCACCGCAUUGGUGAAAAUGAUCAAAGAUGGCCAAAUCUAACGCCGAUAAAAAAUUACAAGCUACCAAAUAUUGGUGUAUUUAUAAGGCACUAUAGCCCAGACUCUCUCCUCUUCUCCCCUCCUCUCUCUCUCUCUGUUCUCUCUAUAUAUAAUACUAUAUAUUAGUAUAUAUAUAUAUGCUCUCCGAGCACACCUAUAAAUUCAACGUAGAAGUUAAAAAAGUCAAAAUUAUUUUAAGAUUAACAGGCCCCGGGCCCCCGCCGAGAGGGCCAUAAUUACACUCUUCAUCUGUUCCGAUCCGACCUGAUAUGAUGGACCACAACUACAGUAUGGUAAUGGGUCCUCCCCAAACCCCUCCGAAAGAAGACAGAGACAGGCACUUUGAAACACAUUGAUAAGCAUCCAGCCUGUUCAACAUCCCAAUUAUCUAUUCCAGCCUCCAAAAAAUUAAAAAAACCCCUCCACUGUCACCUCGGUGAUGAUAUCUGUUCAAGCUUCGUCAAUUCAUAUAUUAUUCACAUUUCUAAGCUAAAUUUUUUCUAAAUAAAUAAAAGCAAGGAUAUAGAUCACUCAUUCUUAUUUCUUAAAAAAAAAAAAAUUUCCAGCCCAUACGGUGCGAGUAAAUGAAAUAUUUUAAAAAAAUUAUUUAUUUUUUAAUUUACGUAUUUUUUAUUUUAAUUAUUAGCCUACACUCUAUCUCCUUCACCUCGCACACUACCAACUCUAUACUCUUAUUUGCGCUUAUCAGUAUUCUUAUAUCCCGGUAUUAUAUUGCAUCAUAUUUGAUCCUAUAUUUCCAAACUUUACAUUAGUAUAUCUUUGACUCCACUUUAGAAUCUUAAUAUCACUUUAACUCUGACUAAAUAAUUAAUUCUAUCCCGAUAGACUGCAUCACAAAUCACCUCCUAUACAGUCAUUGCUAUCAUAUAAUUAAACAUUUAUACUACUUUUACAUAAAAUGAUUAUCAAUAUUUAUCAAUAAUCUACUAGUCGAGCGUAAUCUAUAUUAAAUUUAUAAUUGAAGAAUCUAAAUAGUGUCGGCUCGGUCACAGUUUGAGACCAGUUUGUGACUGUCUCUUUCUCUCUCUCUCUCUCUCUCUCUCUCUCUCUCUAUAUAUAUAUAUAUAUAUAUAUAUAUAUAUAUAUAUUCCAGCAACUAUAAAUUUAAUAGAAUAAAAAAUUAAGUCAAAUUAUUUUAAAAUUAAAGUGUCGCAAUAAUACACCCUCUCAUCUGUUCCAUCCCGACUGGAUAUGAUGGCCACCAACUACAAUGGUUGGUGGCCCGUCCCAAGACCGGCCGAAAAAGGACAGGACAGCACUUGAAACACAUUGAUAAUGGAUCCAGGCCUUUCAACAUCCCAAUAAUUCCAGCCCAAAAAAAAAAAAAACUAGGUGAUUGAUAUCCAAGGUUUCAAGUUCGAAUUCUAUUUGAUUCACAUUUCUAACUAAAUUUUUUUCUAAAUAAAAUAAACGAAACGAAUAGCAUACUAUUCUAUUUCUUAAAAAAAAAAAAAAUUUCCAGCCCAUACGGUGCAGUAGAUAUGAAAUAUUUUAAAAAUAAAUUAUUUAUUUUUUAAUUUUACGUAUUUUUUAUUUUAAUUAUUAGUUAAAUUAGUUUAACUAAUAAUAAUUUAAAUCGGUAUAUGUGCGUUAUAGAUUUUUAUACGGUAAAUUGCAUAUUUGAUUAUUCAAACUUUAAUUUAUUAUGAUCUUUGGAUCCAACUUUUAGAAUUUAUACAUUAAUUGACUAAAUAUUAAUUUAUCGCUAACGCAAAAGUGAUAUAGCAGUAUUGCAUCAAUAAUUAAAAUGUUAUAUUACUUUUACAUAAAUGAUUAAUCAAUAUUUAGUCAAUUAAAAGUUCGAGCGAAAGAUUAUAAUAAAUUAUAAUUUGAAGAUUAAAAUAUUGUCUGGCUCGGUCACAGUUUGGACCAGUUUGGACUGCGUCUUUGUCAGAUAUCUCCAAAUUAGCAUGGAAGGAGCGGGGAUAACUGAACUAGAUACUGGGGAUGUUAAGCAGCUUUGGACUGAGACUACUCAGUCCCCGAAUGCCAGGUAGAGAACGAAUAGGCUCACACAUUUGGCGGCAAUCUGGUGGGUGGUAUGGACGAAGCACAACAAGAUCAUAUUCAGCGGGGGGUCUCCCGAUGCUACCCGUGCAAUUGGUCGUAUCGCAUCAUUGACGGAGGCUUGGACCGAAGUGCUUGACCCGUGACCGUUCGGUAGUCCUGGCAGUCUCCAUCUUGUUUUGUCUUUUGCUUGCUCGCUUCUAAGUUUUGUAUUCCUUUUUGCUCUUCCUAUUUUGUUUUCUUUUGCAGUUUUUGUAUUCCUUUUUGCUCUUCCUAUUUUGUUUUCUUCUGCGGUUUCUCCAGUUCCUUUAGGAGGCCUUAACUGUCUCCAUUUCUUGUACGCUAAAUUCAUUUGGCUUAAUGAAUGAAGCAAGCUACCUUUUUCUCAAAAAAAAAAUAUUGCCUGGCUAACUAGCUCAUAGUUUGAGGACCAAACAUACAAUUUACUCGAUUUUAUAAGAGUAACUAAUUAAUAAAGCAUUGGCACGAAGAAAGGUAUAGAGGUAGGAGUGUAAUGUGUUUUUCGGGCUGAAACGGGCUCACUGGCCUGAAUUUAAUUUCGGGGCUGGCCGUGCCGGGCCCAAAUUAUCUAUCCUCUGGCCGCCCGGCACAGCCCUUCGGCCUGGGACGCACGGGCCGUGCUUCGGGCCGGCCUAAUAAAAUAUUUAUUUUUAAAUUUUUUUAAAUUUUUUUAAAAUAUAAACAUCCAAUAUUUUCAUUUAAAAUUAAUAUUUUGAUUAAAAUAAUAAAAAAUUAUAAAAAUAAUUAUACUAAAAUAAAUAUUUAAUUUUAAAAAAAUAAAUUUGUAUUAUUUUUUUUAAAAAAAGAUAGACUUUGGUCCAAUGAACCAAAAUAUUUUGGUCCAUUGGACCAAACUGCACCUCCCAAGGUCUGCCUUGGGAGGAGAGCUCCUGGGGAGGCCCUCCUCCCCAGGAGCUCAGACCACAUGGCCCAAGGCAGUUGCCUUGGGCCACGGGGUCCGGGUUCGGCUCGCACGGCCCAAGCGGGCCGUGCCGUGCCGAGCCGCCCGCUUUUCCUAGGCCCGACACCAUCCAGGCCGUUUCGGGCAGUGCCAUGCCCAGCCGUCAGGCCCCAAAGGGCGGCCAGCACGGCCUAGAGCCUCGGGCCGGCCCGGCCCAGCACGUGUGCUACAGUACCCGUGCCGGGCUUUAGCCCGGCCCGAGGCCAUGCCGGGACGGGCGGCCCACGUGCCGCCCGGCCGGUUUUACCCCCUAUAUAGAGGCUAGCGCGCAAAGCAAUCGAGAAGAUGAUAUAUGUACAAGUAAAUAGCUAAUAUGAGUGUUAAAUAAUUAAAACACAUUGUAUGUCUAUCUAUAUAAUUUCUUAUAAUAAUUUUCGAUUAAGUAAUUUUAUUGUUGAAGAAUAAUUCUGCAAGAACUCGUCAAUUAAAUGUGAAAAAUAAGAAAUAAUAUAAUCAGAAAAUUUUAAGUUGGCUAAAAAAAAAGAAGAUACAAUAACUGCAAGGUAAUAUAAUAGCUACUAUUUAUUAAAAAUAUUUUAUAAAAUUAUAAUAUGGAAUAAUAAAUAAAAAUUUGUUUUUUUUAGAUAAAUAAAAAUUUGUUCCGUGUAGUAAAUAUAUCAUUACAUUUUAUACAACAGAAUUUUUUUUAUAUGCAAUUUUUUCUGCAGUUUAUGCCCUGUGGACUUGUGGUUGCCAUUAAUUUAUUGAAUUACAUUUUGAUUUUUAUUAUUAAUUAUUAAAAAGUAGGUGUGUUUCAUGCUGUAUAUUGAUCAAUAUCACGCAGAUAAAAAAUACUGAAAGAGAAAUUAAUGAUACACCUUUAAAUUUAAGGUUUAAGUACAAAAAUCUCCAUGCACUUUAUCAUAUAUCUUAAAUAUAUUCCUAUAAAAUUUUUAAACAAUGACGCUUUAUGAUCUCCUGUCAAAUAGGUUUAGUAGUUUAUAGAUUUUAUUAAUUUUUGACGAAAGUGUUAAUGAUGGUGACGUGAAAAAAUAACAUGCAUGAAUACUUUUUUAUGAUUCCUCUUAAAGUUGGAUACUUAAAAGUAUAUUUAAUUAAAAGAGUUUAAAUGAACUUUAAAAUAUAGUAUCUUAUCUCAACGUAACGCCGUUAAAAUUAAUAAAAAAUAAUAAUAAAUAUAACGUACUAAAGUGCAGAGGUGAUAUCAAAGAUAUUUGAAACAUGAGUAGAACUGUUAUACUAUCGAAAGUAUAAAAUAGUUAGUGCUUUCGAUUUUUUAGUUCUUAUAUCAAUCUCAUUGAUCAUUUCUAACUAUUGGAUUAAUAUUAUUAAGCAAUGGGGACCUCUCAACCCUAAGAGAACCGCUAUCAUCCCAACCAUAAAAUCUUUUAUUCAAAGACUAAAAAAUUUAAAGCAAUAAUUAUUUUAUGCUACUCAUAGUAUAGUAAUUCUACACUUAAAACAUUGAGCUCUUUAUUUACAGCAAUAGCUCCAGCAUUUUGCAUCAGAUUGUCCGAGAUAGAUUCUUCUUAUAUUAUACAGAAAAUAAGAAAGGAUGAAAGCAUUCCGAUACAGCAUAUAAGUGAUUAAGUUGGGUCACAUGGUGGGGCAGAUGGACCCAGGGUCUUCCUCGCAGACGAUCUUGCAGCCGCCGCCGGAGCACCGGGGACAGCCGCCAGCACCGCCACAGUGGCCGCAGCUGGGCGGGGUGACGACCUUGCAGCACCAGGUACAGCCGCCAGCACCGCCACAGCGGCCGCAGCUGUGCGGGGGCCACGAUCCGCUGUCUUCCUUCCCGCACGUGCAGCACUGGUAGCAUCCGAUUCCUCCUCGGUGAUCGGGGCGCGGCGACGGGCACGGGCACGGGCACGGCUGCCAGCAGCACCUCGGCCACGGACACGCCGGCGGCGGAGGGGGAGGAGGUGGCGGUGGCGGUGGCGGUGGCGGUGGCGGGGGCGGUGGCGGUGGCGGUGGUGGUGGCGGGCACAGUGGCGGUGGCUGGCACGGCCACGGCGGAAAAAUACACACCACCUUCGGCGGACACGGCUUCGGCGGCGGCGGCGGGGGAGGGGUCGGCGGCUUAUCCGGUGGCUUCGGCGGGGGAACGAUCUCGAUGCCCGUGAUCACGUCGCAGGCCAUGCAAAGCAGCUUCCUUUUCAGGCCCUCGGCAUCGAAAGGGCCGGAAACUUUGACGGUGUUCUUCUUCUUGUCGUAUUCGAUGGUCUGGAUCUUCUCUCGUUCUCCCAAGUUAGCAAAGAAGGAGAAGGAGAGGCACAGUAAGUAAUGUUAAAGAAUGUGAAAUAUUGCAGUCUGCUCCGAUACCGUAUUUAAAGAAGUAAAUUUUGAAAACAGCGUUUUCAUAUUAUGAAAUGCAUGGCAAGCAGUGCAAGACAGGGACGGAGCCAUUGUCAGACUCACAGCCGCCAUGGUCCCGCUGGAUUUUUAAAAAUUAUAUAGAAAUCCUUUAUAAUAAAAAUUAGAAUAUAUUAUAAAUUUUAAUUUUAGGGGAAACAAGUUCGCUAUUUUUUUAAAUAAACUUUAUGUUCCAAUUUUUUUUCGAACCUCUUAGUUCUUUUUCUUCAACUACUCUUUUAUUACAUUAUCGCUAUUGUCGUCAACAAUAGGUGGCCAGUAAAUCUGACAAACUCUUUUUCGUACUAUUCGAGGUCGAAUUUUUUCUUGCUAAAUUUAAAUCACUUUGUCCCUGGUGCAAGGGAAGCUUGAAUAGUAGAGAAUACGUACCUUGGAGCUUGCACAGAACCUUUCUGAUCUUCUUAUAGCAGUGGCAGCAUUCCAGGUCUACUUUGAUGAUUAGUGUGGAGAUCUGCAAGAGCAAAAGUGAUUGGCAUAGAAAAGAAAUUGAGCACAACAAGCAAGCAAUGCAGCUGAUGUGGAGACUGAUCAAAAUUGAAUUGCUAGGAAAGUUAAAACCGAUAUCGCACUUUGUAUUUUAAGGCAAUAUCAAAGGUUCUGCCGAGUACAUAUGGACUGAACACUGUAGAAUAGAAAUGUUGAGACUUCAAUUAAGGUCGAGGAAUUAAAUGAAGUUUGAAGUCCGACGAGGCUCAAAUUUGUGAGCUCUUGUUUUUUAACUUUCAAUAUCAUGUUAAAUUAUGAAAAAUUAAUAAUCAUAUAUGUAAUGAUCUGAUUUAUUAGUAAUAAUAACUUGUUGGACUCAAACUACCGAUCCAAAAUGUUUAAACUCAGUUAUCAUUAUUAGAAUGGAAACUUCAAUGGUUCAUCCGAUGUGCACUCCUUGCUAGGCAAUUUUCGGCUGGUAUUCGAUUCUGAUACCAAUUGUAAUGACUAGUCCGUUACCAAUAAUAAUUUGUUGGGUCCAAACCACCGGUCUAAAAUACUUAAAUCCAACUAUUAUUAUUAGGAUGGAGGCCUUAUAUAUUUUAAUCAAAAUUAUUUUUUCAUCCAAUAUAAGAUUAUUAAAGCAUUAAAGUGUAUCUCUAAAACAUAAGCUAUUAAAUGAUGGUAUUUUUAAUAUUUAUAUUCAGUAAUGCUAAAAAUAAGCAGCAUCUUUCGUUAUCUCCAAAACAAAACAUCAAUGAAAUUCUCGGCGAGAAAAAAAGCGAUGCUAAAAAUAAGCAUCGUCUUUCGUUAUCUCCAAAACAAAACAUCAAUGGGAUUCUCGGCGAGAAAAAAAAACAAAAAGGAGAGAAGUAUCAGAGAAUUGGAAAUUUGAGCACCUUCUCAGCCAUUGCUUGAACCGAUUGAUGUAGAGACCAGCGAGAAAGCAGCGAGGGAAACAAGAAGAGGCAUGCUGCUUUAUAAAGCUGUUGAACUUCGAAGUCUUUCAAGUUACAGAACGCAGGGCGGAGCCAUUGAGGGGCCACAGUGGCCAUGGUCCCCCCUUCAAUUUUUUUAAAAUUACAUAAAGGUCCUUUAUAAUAAAGAUUAAAAUUUUUUUCCUGAGAGAGGUAGAUAGCACGCUACCCGCUUCGUUUAUUUCAGUUAGAAAUAAAUUUAGCUGGAUAUGUGAAUCAACUAAAAUUCGAACUUGGGUCUCGGAUAUCAACCAUCAAGUCCUUUGCCACUUGCUCUAGGGAAGGUCGAUAAAAAAAAAAAAAUUAUAGAUUUUAAUUUUAGGUGGCCAAAUUAAUUUUUUUAAUAAAAUUUGUCUUUUUUUUUUCGAAUUUUUUUUUGUUCUUUCCCUUCAAUUCUCAUCGUCUUGUUCCUCUCUAAGUAUAUUAUCGUUAUUGUUGCUAGUAAUAACUGAUCAGUGAAUCCGACAAAUUUUUUUUCCUUACUAUUCGAGGUCAAAUUUUUUUCUAUCAAAUUUAAAUUUUGGCUCCCCGAAUUUUAAUUUCUGGCUUCGUUCCUGCAGAAAAGAACUGAAAAGAAAGUAAGCAAAAAGAACAGACCAGUCCCUGUUAGCGUCUGGCAAAAUUUGUAUCAUAAUACUAGAGAGCUAAAGAUAGGAUGCCAUUUAAAAUUAUGCUAUAUAUAAAAUUAUUGGGGAUAAAAUUAAGAGUAGUACUAUUUAUAAUGUGGUUUGUAGUGCAUAUUUUUUUUGUUGUGCAAUAUGCAAUUUUGGUUGGUGAGCACUCUAGUGGGGUCUAGUAUUGGUUUCAGUGACAGUGAGAGAGCCAUGGCCAUGCAUGAGAGUUGUUGCGCUAGGGCUGUCAACGACCGAACAAUAGCGAGAAAAGGGUCGGCUCGUGUUUGCUCAUUUAUUAAAAGAGGUGAAAACGAGUAGAUUCGUUAAAAUAUCAGCCGAAAAAAUUCAACUCAUACUCUUGGAUUUAUUGUGUUUGGCAUAUUACUCUUAGAUUUAAAAAUAAAUAAAUAAAUAAAUGUACACUUUGUUAGCUAUUUAUUAUUAGCUAAAAUAGGUCCAAUUUUCUGAGGUUAAACAAUAAAUCUAAUAUCAAGAUGGUUUGAAUUAGGUUGAGCCCUUAAGUGCAAUAGGUGCUUUCUUUCUAUCAGCACAUACUUUUGAAAUAAUUAAUUAGUGCUUACAAUCCACACACACUUCGGUAGAUAAUACAAUAUAUUAAUUGCGUCCAGAAAAUUCAAUAUUAAAUUCGUGUCUUUUAAUUUCCACUGAAACCAACGGCAUUGACAAAUAUGAGAAAACAUUUGAAAUACAUGAGCUUGCCACUUCCUGUUUGCCUACUAGCCAUCAAGAUAAGGAUUUUAAGGAUGGCAAAAAAAAAGUGAAGAUCACAAUUUCUGCUAGGGUUCUGUAUUCAUUCAUCCCGUCGAAGUCAAAGUGUCGAAGAAGAAGAAGAAGAAUCGAAGAAGAAGAAGAAGAGAGGAUUUCAAGUCUAUUUUGAAGUUGUAAUAUGUGACAAGAUGAAGUUUAGGUUGACAACUUUGCAAACCCCUUAAUGAUGUUGAUUUGUUUCUUUAAGGUUUCUUCAAUAUUGUUUACAACCUAAUCAAUCUACAUUGCUAGUCACUUUUACCCCUUAAUGAUGUUGAUUUGUUUCUUUAAGGUUUCUUCAAUAUUGUUUACAACCUAAUCAAUCUACAUUGCUAGUCACUUUUACUUUUCCGACAAAGGAUUUGGUGGCUGGUAUCUGAAGUUCCAAGUUCGAAUCCUAGUUGAUUUAUAUUUCCAGCUAAAUUUAUUUCUAAAUGAAAUAAACGAAGCUGGGAGUAUACUACUUAUCUCUAAAAGAAAAAACUUUUACUUUUAUGACUGCUGUCACUUUAAAAUGAUAAUAUUAGAAUAUUAUUAGUGAUUAAGAAAAUUUAAACGCUAGAAGCUUUUGAUUUCUUAAUGACUUAAGUCUAGUUUGGUAAUAUGGUGGUUAACAUGCUUCUCCCGUCGUGGCUUAGUUUGGUGCAUGUGAUGCUCUAAUUGAUCAGGCGCGGUUAGUAUUUUUUAUAGCGAAGAAAAAUUUAUUACUUGUACAAAGUGUAUGCAUAUAUUUUAUACACAAUAUUUUUAAAAUUCUAUUAUAAAAAUUUAAAUUCUCUAAUUAUUUAUGUAUAGACUUUGUGCUAUUGAUCACAUCUGUGAGAUUAAAAUUUGAUUUUGUAAUAUUAAAAUAUUAAAAAAUAGAUUGAACGCAGGUACGUAGUCCACUAAAACUUUCGGGUGUACGGAAUCUCUUACAACGGUUAAGAGGGUUAGUUGGGGAAAGCAUGUCGCUUUAAGCUCCGCCCCAACCACUCUUUAAUGUAACUAGCGAUAGCGAUGUGAUGUGGUGGAUAUACUUUGUAAGUUCUUAAUUGCAUAUGUAAAUAUAUAUAGUAUGCACUAUUUAUAUAGAAUUAUUUUAUAGAGUCAAACAGUGUCAAUUUUGAUGUAAUUAUUCAACACAUAUUUUAUAUGGAAUCAAUUCCAAUGUGAAAAUAUUUUUUGAAGCAAAAUAGUAUAGUUUAUAAUAUACUUAUGUUUUACGUCAUUUUGUUCAAAAAGUACAUCUCUAAUUUUUUUAUGUUUGUAUAAUAAUAAUAAUAAUGAGAUAUACACUAAGCUGUUGUUAGUUGGAUGUAAUAAUAAUUAGAGAAAUGAUUCGGUACUUUUUUUUUAAAAAAAUAAAAAAGAUCUUAACCGUUGAUUAAUAUAGGGUAAAAAUAUAAUUUUAAUACUUAGCAGGUAAAAGGAUUAUUUUAUUCUAGGUUAGUUUGGUAAUUAAACAAUACAACAUUUAAAGAAACUUUUAAUUGGGGUCCUAAAUUUACGCAUUAAUUGGCACUAAUUUAGAAAAUUAAUUGAUUAACCAAAUUUAUGCAAUUAUUAGGCAUUAAUUUAGGCAUCUACUUUAAUGUUUUAGUGUUUCUAAAAUUAUGCAUUAAUUUAAAUUAUAGGAAUUUUAGAAAUAGUUUUAUUUCUAAGUACGAAGUACGAUGAAUUUAAAUUUUAAAUAUUAAAUACUUAAAAUUUAAUAGUGAAAUUUAAAUUAGAGGAAUUUCAUAUUAGUGCUAAUAAAAUUGUAAUGUUGGUAAAUUUUUUUUCAACAUAUUUAAUAUGUUUAAGAAACUUUUAAAUUCCUAUAGUUUAGACAUUAAUUUUGUAUCACUUAUUUAAAAAAUUUUGAAUGUAGGUUAAAAUAUUUAUAAUUUAAAUGUAUUUAAUAAGUUAAAAAAAAAAAAGAAUUGUUCUACUUUAGACAUUAAUUUUGUAUGACUAUUUAAAAAUAUUUAUAAUGUUGGUAAAAAACUAAAAAAAAAUUAAUAUCCUAUAAUAUGAUAAAAUUUGAAAAUUCUCAUAUCGAACUAGAAAAAAAUUAACUAUUUCAUUCUUAUUUUAUUAAAAAAAAAUUUAGAAAGCAAUAGGAAUGGAAAGAAAUUUUAAAGCAUAGUUUCUUAAAAUUAAACUUAUUUACAAUAUUAAACAAAUAAACAAAGAAAAAAGAAAAAAUUAAAAUAUCAUACUGUCAAAUCAUUUGAAAAUUUUCUUAUAUGAAAUGCCAAAUUAUGAAAGGAAAGAUAGAGAGAGAAAAAGGAAACAAAGAGAAAAUAAAAAAUUUGAAAAUAUAGUAGAGAUAAAAUGACUAAAUUGCCUAUGUAUUACAAGACAAAAAUAUCCUUUUUUGAGAUACCUGGUAACCGGUACCUCUCCCAAAGUGAUCUGCUAUUGCAGGUCACAAUUUAAAAAAAACUAAAUCUAAGCCGUUGAAUACGCGUGAAUGAACGGUAACAAAAAAAAAAAAAAGUGUAGAAGCAUUACUGUAAUAAUUAUAGUAAAAUUGUAGAUGCAUGUAUGUGAUUAAAAUGCAGCAGUUAUUGUCACAUUUUUUUUGAUUGAUUGAAUGUAAUAGAAAGUGUUGCAAGAAUGAAUAAUUUAUUUAGUUUCAUUCCGUUAGGAAUUGUAUAUCUAAAUUUGUUACUUUACAUAUAUAAUUGUGAGAUCAUCUCUAAUGUGUGUGUGGGAGCCCGCGAGUGGGAGCCCGCGCGUGGGAGUCCAACUAUGAUACUUUUAAAAGUAUCAAGUAUUUGAUGUUUGUAAGUUUUUCAUCUUUAGAUCUAUUCUUUUGACCAAUUCGACUUAAAUUUUGUUAUUUUAUCAAUCACGCACUCAACUUUAGGGGACUGUGAGUGUAGUCUGGUUAUUGUGCUUUUAAAAGCACCAACACACUUAGUACUAGUAAAAUUUUUCACCGUUAAAUUUAUUUUUUUUGACCAAUUUUAUCCCUUAGAUUAUGCGUUAUUUCGCCAACCACUUAUUUAAUUUUAAGAAACCACUAUUAUCCUAAACUUAGAAAGUUUUAUCUAAAAAUGGAAAACUUCUGAGCACUAAAAACUUAGUGCCAUUUAAAAACGAGGAGUGCUCGGAUUGUAAUUCUACAAUAACCUCAAUGCCGUACCUCUCUUUUUGUCACUAGUCUUACUAAUUUUAUUUUUUUAAAAAAAAAAUUCUCAACACUUUUUGAAGAGUAAUUGUAUGGAUUACAAAUUUUUUGGGUAGCAGACUUAACAUUUUUCGAGAAGAAAGAGGUGUCAUAAAUCUAUUAUAACUUAUUUGAAUUGUAGUAGUUGUUUUGCAGUAGCUUUUUUGAAAAAAAAAAAGAAAAAAAGAUUGACUAGUUUUGCAUUUUUGCAAAAAAGGCCACAUUUUUAUUUCUACAUAAUUGAAUUGAUUUUAUUUUUCAAUUGAUAAAUCUAUUAUAACUUAUUUGAAUUUUAUUAUUGACUCUCAAAAGUAGUUUUUAUUUUAUUAUUCUUCACUUGAUUCCAAGAGUAGAGGAUUGCAAAAUUACAGGAGAUGAUAGAGAGAAAAAAAUAUGGUAAUCUUCAAAUUGAAGAAAUAUAUACUUUUAAUGUUUCUAGAAGUAUAUUUAUCCUUUUUUAUAAUAUUAUUAUUUUCUUGAUUGGUAAGUUUAAUGAGAAUGGAAAGUUCAUCUUUAGUAGUUUUUCAUCAAUUUUUGCAGACUAUUUAAAUUAAUAUUUUUUAUUUUAUAGAAAUAAUGAUUAUUUCGAUAAUGUCUAUCCACCACAUCGCGCAUGCAACUACACUAGUUUAACAUUACAAAAGAUAAAAUGGAGGAAUCCAAAUUAUAUUGGACCUUAGGGUACACUUUAUUCGGGCAAAAAUUAUAUGGGCAUGGUCUCCAAACUAUCAGUUUGGGGACGGUGCCGAUAGGCACCGCGUGGUCUGCGCGCGCCCACUGCAUGACCAAAAAAAGAAAAAAAAAAUAUCGGGCAUGAUUUGGAAGGUGAGGAAUGGAAGGUGAGGAUGGGCCACGGCGGCGCCCAUCGGCAUCGUCCCAAAUUGAUAGUUUUGGAAGGAUGCCCAUAAAAUUUUUGCCCACUUUAUUCGCCGGUGGGUGCUCUGUGGAUCCCGUACGGAUUAGUGAGAGCGAGUGAGAGUUACGCGCACCUCGUCGGUCGGUGCUCUGCUCUGUGGACCCAAACCAUCGCCCUUUCUCUCUUACGUAGUUUCACUUGUAAUACCGUACAUCAUCAAAGAAUAGAGAUGCGACGCCCUAUUUCCUAUAUAUUAGGAACAUUUAUUAUAAAAUUAUUUUAAUUUUAGCACACUUAAUUUUUUUAAUUUCUAAAAUUUAGCCAUCUCCUAACAUAUAUAAAAAAUUUAGCUUUAUUAUAUUUUAUAUACGAGAUUAUUUUAAAUCCUGAAGUGUCAAUCACGAUAUUUAUUAUUUGCAAUAAAAUUAAUUAAAAAGAUUUGUGGAGAUGAUCUAAUGGCGGCGGGGAGUAGUCCUAAAUCUUUGUUUAGAGCAAACGAUCGAUGAUCACAACCGAAAAUGAACCAUAACUCCCCAUUAGUCCCAUAAUUUUUUUUCUUCUUUUUGUUUAAGAAUCAAAAAGGGAUUAGUAAAUCCCAAACCAACAUUAUCAGGAGGCCGAAGCAUGAAAUGAACUUUUUCGAUUUAAGCAUUCGUCGAUCGUGGGGAAGCAUGUCAUUUUAGGAACAGAUUCCUUUGUUUCGUGGAAAUCUAUUGAAGAUUCCCAUGGAGAUAAAUAUCAUCCUUAAUUAGUUGAUGCUGGUUGGUUGUUUCUCACAUAGUUUUGUAGGAUUCGAGCAGUGGGUGAUUGAAUUUUUUUUUUUUUGUUUUUUUUCAAGCUUCGAGGCCUAGUUGUCUCAGUUUGUAGCUUAGUUCAUAUCCUUAAAGUAGAAUAUGACAAGAAAAGUAACAAAAAAAAUAUACGUGAUUCGACUUAUAGCCUCUCGAAAAAGUACGGAAGAAAGUGCUAAAUUAUAUAAAAUAAUUAUUUUUUCAAAAAAAUGUCACCUGAAAAAAAAAUUAUGUUUUUAUUAUUCAAUGCUUCCUUCGUGUCUAGACUCGAAAAUGAUACUUCUAUUAUUUAAUUAACAGAGUUUUUUAAAAAAAUGCUUUUUUCAUAAAAAAAACUCAUAUAUUCUAAUUUCUGUCUAUUUAGCUUUUAAAAUAACUAAUUUUUCUUGUGCUUUUCUUUUUAGUUCACAUUUUAUGAGAAGCAAUGUUUUCGGUUUCUUUUAAUUUUUUCCCCGAAAAACAACUGUGUUUUUCCAUUUAUUUGCAUAAGAAAAGCUACAAAACAAAGACACUGACAAAUAUAAGAAAAACACCAAAUUACAUGAACUUGUCAUAUACUUCAUAUUUCCCUGACAGCAGCCAUCUAGAUAAGAUUUUUAAGGAUGGCAAAAAAUGUGAAGAUCACAAUUUCUGCUAGGGUUCUAUAUGCAUUCAUCUUGUCAAAGUCAAAGAAGAUCGAAGAAGAGGAGAAGAGAGGUUUCGAAUCUAUUUCAAAUUAUAAUGUGAGAUAAUAUGACAUUUAUGGAGAAAGGGACUCAAACUAAGGAUAAUUAAAUAAUGUUACGAGGAUGAUGGGACUCGAAGUCGGAACCUUAUAUUCUGACGUUUGCUAGCACUAAAAACGUGAGCUUAAUCAAAUGAAAGAAAAUUAAAUAAUGAUGGGAGGCUAACAGGACUUGAACUCAUGAACCUCAUGUUUAGAUGUCUGGUUUUGUCGUGCUUCGACUCUAAAGAAAAUUAAAUAAUGUUAGAAGUUACAUUUCUAUCAAACUCAAAACCUUAUGUUCUAUUGUCAUAUUAAAUUAUAUAAAAUAACUAUAUAUUUAUCUCACUGACUAUUCUUAGAGCAAGUGGUAAAGGGCUUGGUGAUUGGUACCCGAGACCCAAGUUCGAAUCCUAAUUGAUUCACAUUUUUUGCUAAUUUUAUUUCUAAAUGAAAUAAACAAAGCGGGUAGCGUGCUACCUAUCUCUCAAAAAAGAAAAGAAAAAACUAUAUAUUUACCUCUAAAAGAUUAUGCCAAUAAAGAACGGUUUAUAUAUANAUUCGAUAGAGUUAAUCUUAGCAAAACUAUGCAGUAGCAGUAGUGUUAGUGUGGCAUCUUUAGCUACAAGUGACAAAGGGUUAGGUGGUUGGUAUUCAAGAUCCCAAAUUCGAAUUCUAGUUAAUUUAUAUUUCUAACUAAGUUUAUUUCUAAAUAAAAUAAACGAAGCGAGUAUCAUGCUACCUAGCUAUCUCUCAAAAAAAUCUUUAGCAACACUUUGCACAUCAAAUAUGGGCGGGAGAGGAGUAAACAACUAUGCAGUACAGUGUAGCAUAUACUUAUAAAAUUUUAUUUUUACUUUUUUUUCAAAAAUUAUAAUUUAAUAUAAUAGAUAUUAUAUUUAAUGCUAAUUUUCUUUACAAAAAUUGUAGGCAAAAAUUAUUAUUAUUAUUUUUGUUUUUAGAAGUAAGUGCUUUGAAGAUAGUCAAAUCUGACUGCAUAGACAUAAUCUAUAGUAUUUAAAGAGAUAAAAAUAAAAAUUUAAAAUUUAAAAUCUCUUAUUUAGAAGUAUUUUAACUUUUAUAUAAAAAUUAUUGGUAGAAACACACACUCUUACUUAAACUGCAUAUUAUUUUGAACGGACUAUCUAAUUUUUCAAAAUUUUAACUUUACUAUUCAAUCUUUCUAACUUCAAAAUUUAAAUACGUCGUUUACUUUUACAGAUUUAGUUAACAUACUUACAUAUGAUUCUAACAACUAUAAAUUUAAUAAAAUAAAAAAUUAAGUUAAAUUUUAAAAUUAAAGUGUUGCAAUAAUACACCCUCUCAUGAUCUCAUCUGUUCCAUCCCCAUUGGGUAAGUUGCCCACUAACUACCUUCAAUGGUUGGUGGCCCGUCCCAAGAACUGCCGUAAAAGGACAGUACGUAUUUGCAACACAUUGAUUGAUACUGCAUGGAGCCAUGAAUCCAUGCCUUUCAACAACGCAAUAAUUCCAGCCCAUGCAGUUGUCCCUGGCGGCUGGCGCACGUUGCAAAAAACUUGAUAAUUGAUAUCCGAGGUCUCAAGUUUGUAUUCUAAUUUAUUCACAUUUUUAACUAAAUUUUUCUAAAUAAAAUAAACGAAGCGGAUAGCAUACUACCUAUCUCUCAAAAAAAAAAAAAUUUUUUUUUUAGCCUGUAUGGUGCCGCAGAUAUAAAAUAUUUUAAAAAUAAAUUAUUUGUUUUUUAAUUGUACGUAUUUUUUUUAUUUUAACUAUUAGUUAAAUUUGCUUAACUAAUAAUAAUUUAAAUCGGUAUAUGUGCGAUAUAGUUUUUUAUAGGGUAAAUUGCAUAUUUGAUUAUUCAAAUUUUAAUUUCUUAUAAUUAAUCUUUGGGUCCAACUUUUAGAUUUUAUAUAUUAAUUGACUAAAUAUUAAUUUAUCGCUAACGCAAAAGUGAAAUAAUAAUAUUGCAUCAAUGAUUAAAAUGGUACAUUACUUUUACAUGAAUGAUCAAUCAAUAUUUAGUCAAUUAAAAGUUCGAGCGAAAGAUUAUAAUAAAUUAUUAUUUGAAGAUUAAAAUAUUGUCUGGCUCAUAGUUUGAGGACCAAACAUACAAUUUACUCGAUUUUAUAAGAGUAACUAAUUAAUAAGGCAUUGGCACGAAGAAAGGUAUAGAGGCUAGCGCGCAAAGCAAUCGGGAAGAUGAUAUAUGUACAAGUAAAUAGCUAAUAUGAGUGUUAAAUAAUUAAAACACGUUGUAUAUCUAUAUAUAUAAUUUCUUAAUAAUUUUUAAUUAAGUAAUUUUAUUGUUGAAGAAUAAUUUUGCAUGAACUCGUUAAUUAAAUAUAAAAAGUAAGAAAAAAUAUAAUUAGAAAAAUUUAAGUUGGCUUAAAAAAAUAGAAGAUACAAAAAAAGCAAGGUAAUAUAAGAGCUACUAUUUAUUAAAUUUAUUUUAUAAAAUAUAAUAUGGAAUAAUAAAUAAAAAUUUGUUCAGUGUACUAAAUAUAUCAUUACAUUUUAUACAACACAAUUUUUUUUAUAUGCAAUUUUUUCUGUUUAUGCCCUGUGUGGCAUUUAUUGAAUUAUAUAUAUUUUUGAUUUUUAUUAUUAAUUAUUAAAAUGUAGGUGUGUUUCAUGCUGUAUAUAUUGAUCAAUAUCACGCAGAUAAAAAAUACUGAAAGAGAAAUGACACACCUUUAUUUAAGGUUUAAGUACAAAAAUCUCUAUGCACGUACUUUAUCAUAUAUCUUAAAUAUAUUGGUAUAAAUAUUUAAACAAUGACGCUUUAUGAUCUUCUGUCAAAUAGGUUUAGUAAUUUAUAAAUUUUGUUAAUUUUUGAGGGAAGUGUUAAUGACGGUGACGGGAAAAAAUAACGCGAAUACUUUUUUAUGAUUCCUCUUAAAGUUCGAUGCUUGAACGUAUAUUUAAAAGAGUUUAAAUGGACUUAAAAAUAUACUAUAUAUCUCAACAUAACGCGUUAAAAUUAAUAAAAAAUGGUAAUAAAUAUAACUAAAGUGCCGAGUUGAUAUCAAAGAUAAUAUUUGAAACGUUAAGCUCUUUAUUUACAGCAACAGCUCCAGCAUCUUUCAUCAGAUUAUCCGAAAUAAAUUCUUUAUACUUAUUUGAACUGCUAAUUAUUUUGAACUGUAAAUUAUUUUGAGCCGACUAUCUAAUUUUUUAAAAUUUUAAUCUUAGUAUUCAAUCUUUCUAACUUCAAAAUUUAAAUGCGUUGUUUAACAUACUUAUAUAUGAUUCUAGCAACUAUAAAUUUAAUAAAAUAAAAAAUUAAGUUAAAUUUUAAAAUUAAAGUGUUGCAUUAAUACACCCUCUCAUCUGUUCCAUGAUACCAUCCCGACUGGAUAUGCUGGUCACCAACUACAAUGGUUGGUGGCCAGUCCCGAGAACGGAAGAAAAAGGACGCACUUGAAACAUUGAUAAUUGAUCCAUGUCUCUCAACAUCCCAAUAAUUUAUUUUAAUUGUUAGUUAAAUUAGUAUAAUUAAUAAUAAUUUAAAUCGGUAUAUGUGCGUUGUAGAUUUUUAUAGGGUAAAUUGCAUAUUUGAUUAUUCAAACUUUAAUUUAUUAUAAUCUUUGGGUCCAACUAGGGGUGUAAUGUGGGCCGUGCCGGGCCCAUAUUUUUCGGGCCGAAAUGGGCUAGGGGCCAGCCCGGCCCGAGAUCAAAUCGGGCCGGGUCGUGCCGGCCAACCCCUACCCUCCGGCCCAGUACGGCCCCUCGGCCCGGAAGGCAUGGGCCAUGCCGGGCCGAACCGGGCCGUGCUCCGGCUAGCUCAUUUUUUAAUUUUUUAAAAAUAUAUAUAUGAAAUCUAAAAAAUAUAAACAAUAAUUAUUUUUAUUUAAACUGAUAUUUUAACUAAAAAAUUAAACUUAUAAAAAUAAUUAUAAAAUAAUAAAUAUUUAAAUUUAUUUAUAUAUAUAUAUAUAUAUAUAUAUAAUAUAUAUAUAUAUAUAUAUAUAUAUAUAUAUAUAUAUAUAUAUAUUUGCAUUAUUUUUUUGAAAAAAAAAAAGAAUUGAGAUGUGUUUUUGGUCCAAUUUGCUUUGGUCCGUUGGACCAAAAUCACUCCUCCUGCUAGGCAGACUUUGGAAGGAGAUCUCCUGGGGAGGAGGGCUCCUCCCUAGGAGAUCAGACCCCAGGCCCAAGGCAACUUGCCUUGGGCCUGGGGCACGGCCCAAGCGGGCCGUGCCAUGCUGUGCCGAGCCACGGGCCUCUCUUCGGCCCGGCACGGCCCAGGCCCGUUUCGGACCGUGCCGUGCCGGACCGUUGGGCCCCAGGUAGGCGGCCCAGCACGGCCUGGCCCGGGUGCUACAGUGCUGUGCUAGGCCACGGCUCGGCAAGCAGCAGUGCCGGGCCGGGCGAGCCACGGGCAGCCCGGCCCGUUUACACCCCUAGGUCCACCUUUUAGAAUUUAUAUAUUAAUUGACUAAAUAUUAAUUUAUUGUUAAAGUGAUAUAGCAGUAUUGCAUCAAUAAUUACAUCAAUGGUCAAUCAAUAUUUAGUCAAUUAAAAGUUCGAGAGUUAAAUUAUAAUAAAUUAUAAUUUGAAUAUUAAAAUAUUAUCUGGCUCAUAGUUUGAGGACCAAACAUACAAUUUACUCGAUUUUAUAAGAGUAACUAAUUAAUAAGACAUUGGCACGAAGAAAGGCAUAGAAGCUAGCGCGCAAAGCAAUCGAGAAGAUGAUAUAUGUACAAGUAAAUAGCUAAUAUGAGUGUUAAAUAAUUAAAACACAUUGUAUAUCUAUAUAUAUAAUUUCUUAAUAAUUUUUAAUUAAGUAAUUUUAUUGUUGAAGAAUAAUUUUGCAAGAACUCGUUAAUUAAAUAUAAAAAGUAAGAAAAAAUAUAAUUAGAAAAAUUUAAGUUGGCUUAAAAAAAUAGAAGAUACAAAAAGUGCAAGUUAAUAUAAGAGCUACUAUUUAUUAAAUUUAUUUUAUAAAAUAUAAUAUGGAAUAAUAAAUAAAAAUUUGUUCCGUGUACUAAAUAUAUCAUUACAUUUUAUACAACACAAUUUUUUUUAUAUGCAAUUUUUUCUGUUCAUGCCCUGUGGCAAUUAUUGAAUUACAUUUUUCUGUACUUGCUAAUAGGCUGGAAGGUGUGUUGCAUGGUAUUAUUUCUCCCUCACAAACCGCUUUCCUUAAGGGACGCUCGAUCCUAGAUUCAUUUGCAACCGCAAGUGAAGUGGUAAACUGGUGCUCUAAAACGGGCGUAGAGAGUGUCGGCGUUAAAGCUGAUUUCGAGAAAGCGUACGAUAGAGUGAGCUGGGGCUUUCUCCUGAAGAUCUUGACGUGGCUCGGGGCCGCGCCUAUCUGGUGCACUUGGGUUGAACAAUGUAUUGCUAAGGCGAAAGUUGGCAUACUUAUUAACGGCACUCCGACCAAAUGGAUUAAAACCAAGAGGGAACUUCGCCAGAGUGACCCCCUCUCACCCUAUCUAUUCCUUUUAGUUGCUGAAGGUCUUGCGAGGGUGAUGAAUAAAGCUGUUAUCGGUGGUCUGGUGAAAGGGGUAGGGCCCAAUUCCGACACCAAAGUAGCUUUUAUUCAGUACGCUGACGAUACUCUCUUCUUCUGUGAGGCUAAGAAAAGACAAGUGAAGAACAUCCGUUUUGUAUGGCACAUCUUUGAGUGGGCCUCGGGAUUGAAAAUUAACAGGAGCAAGUCCGAACUUUUCUAUUUAGAUGGGAACAUCCAGCAAGGAGAUAGAUUGGCUGAAAUCUUAGGGUGUAAGGUGGGUGCUCUUCCUACGAAAUAUUUAGGGCUUCCACUAACGAACAAAAGACUUUGCAAAUCAGACUGGUGGCCAAUUAUCAACAGGAUUGAACGACGGAUAGAAGGAUGGCAAGCUAAACUUCUUUCUACUGGCGGCAGGCUAGUCCUGGUCAACUCAGUAUUAACGAACUUGCCCAUUUAUUUUUUCUCUGUGUUGAGAGCUCCAAAAUGGGUUAUCAAGCGUAUUGAAGCACUUCGGAGGGCUUUCUUUUGGAAAGAAAGGAGUACUGUGUUAGGGGGGCAAUGUUUGGUACGGUGGAAGACGGUUUGUAGGAGCAAAAGGGAGGGCGGCCUGGGGGUCCUGGAUCUACAGAAUAUGAACGUAGCAUUACUAGCUAAAUGGUGGUGGAGGUACCUCUCUGAUAAGAAUACUCUCUGGAGAAAUUUCAUAAGAGGGGUAUAUUAUACGAGAAGGAUACCCCUGAGAAAAGGGGCCUCUUUUAAACCGUUCUCCCAGUGGUGGCAGAGUGUAAUGUCGACGAGAGAGAUUUUUCGGUGCGGGGUCUCCUAUAGUAUAGAGGACGGUAAUUCCGUGAGCUUUUGGAGGGACAGAUGGUGUGCUCAAUUGUCUCUUCUUUCGUUGUUCCCCAAAAUAUUCAAUGCCGUAGGUACGAAAAACCUACGAGUGCGGGGGUUUAUAGGCACGGACGGCUGGAGGUGGCAAAGGAUAUUCCAAGGGUUUACGGCAGAAUCCACUUCAGACGACGACUCAAUCCUGGCAUUGAAAGAUCUAGUAAACUCAUGCAUCAUAUCAGAACGUGAGGAUGAAGCUAGAUGGAGAUGGUGUACCUCCGAACUCUUCACAGUUAAAUCAUUAUACAAUUUUCUGCAGAAUAGUGGUGUAUCUGAGAUGAAGUUUGUGUUGCUGUGGAAAAGUAAAAUUCCGCUUAAAGUGAAAAUCUUCGGAUGGCUCGUAUUGCUGAAGAGAGUACUCACUAAGGACAACCUCGCGAAGAGGGGAUGGUCAGGCGAGGCCACGUGCAAUUUAUGUCUGCAUGAAGCUGAGCCUGUUGACCAUCUAUUCAUAAGGUGUUAUGUGACGCGAACGCUGCUAGAAUGCUUAUUACCUAAUAAGGACUUCCUAAGGGCAUGUUCGUCUAUAGACAGUCUCUGGAAUGAGUGUCGGGGUAAACGAGGAGCGGUAGGGAAAAAGGAGGUGGUUAUCUUACUUGCUACUUGGUGGGCCAUCUGGUUAGAACGGAACGGAAGAAUUUUUGACAACAGAAAGCUCACGGUGAAACAGGUGUUGACGAACCUGCGUGCCACUAUUGUUUUGUGGGAGGAUUUAUGCGUUUAGUUUUUUUUUUUUUUUUUUCGAAUCGAACCGAAGCCUAGCUGCUUCUAUCCUAUGCUAAAUUCACUUUCUUCAUGAAUGAAGCGGUAGCAUGCUACCUUACCCCUCAAAAAAAAAAAAAAAAAUUACAUUUUGAUUUUUAUUAUUAAUUAUUAAAAAGUAGGUGUGUUUCAUGCUGUAUAUAUUGAUCAAUAUAUAUCACGCAGAUCAAAAAUACUGAAAGAGAAAUGAUAUUUAAGUACAAAAUGUUGGAGAAAAUUCAAAAUUUUAUUUAUUUAAUAUUUAUUUUUUUAUUAACUUUUAAUUAUCAAUUAGCGAAACGGCCGCAUCAACUACGGCCGUUUCGGCGAGGGGGAUCGUGCGCAGAUCCGUUCCACUAAUUAAGACCUUAUUGUUGCUUUGGAACGUUGUGGGUCCAACGUUCCAUACUUUAACCUUUUAUAUUUUGUUACCAUCGUCCAUGUAAUUGGACAGGACAUAUAUAUCAUAUGAGGUGAACACUUUGGAAUAUAGAUCACAGUGAGAAGGAUACUAUUUGAGAAUCAUUUGUUUUUUUCUUUCAUUUUUAUUAUUUUUCACGGUGUGAAAGAGUCAUUCCGUCAACCUCUUUCCGCGAUCGUGCUCGUAGGAGAGAGUUCCGGUCGUACCUUGGGGCGGUGUUUCCGGUUAAUCCCGCACGAAGGACGGAAUACGCCUUAGGCAGCUGCUUCGCCGCUUCCGGUAUCAAUUAAAUUUUUAUUUGGAUUUUAGCGAUUAUCGGUAAGUUGAUUUUAUAAUUUUUCUAUCAUAAGAUUUUAUUAGAUUUUAAAUCACAAUCGUUUUCUGUGCGGUAUGUUGUCUCAACAAUCUAAGCGUAAUUUACGAUUUGAUUGUGAUUGAAAUCUGACGAGUGCUAAUCGUAUUAAAUUAAUUUUAUAUGUAUAUAAUUUGUUAGUUAAUUUGUUUGUAUAUUGGCAUUCAAACAUAAAAUUUUUCGGAAUUAUCAUUUUUACCUAUAAUUGCAUAUUAUGUAAUUUUUUGUUUAAAUUACAUUUUAUGUUAUGGUAUUUUAAAAAAAAAAAAAAAAAAAAUUGCCUUUCUUGUAGCUUCUUUUGAAAUAAAAGGUACGGACAUUAUGGAUUUCAAAUAUUAUGUAUAUUGUUUUCACUAUUUUUUUUUAUAAGUUAAAAAAAAAAAAAUCAGUGUAACCGUAUAUAUAUAUAUACUGUUCCGUUGCUAAUAUCUGUUCUUAUUAGUUUAAUAUCUGAUAUAUGUGGCUACUUGCAACCUCGAUAUUAAUUAAUUUUUUGGGGAGGUAUCUACCCAUGAUGCUUGUUACUUGGAAUUUUAUUCAUGUUCGUUGCGCUGCACUGCUGUUCGAGACUAGCACACUUAUGUAUGUCGUUUAAUUAUUAUUUUGCUUAAAUAGAAAAAGAUACGUCGAUGUUAUUUUUGUUAGACAAAUUGAUUGCAUGUUUGUCGUUCUAUUUAAAUAAUUAGAUUAGUAUUUUCAAAUUCUAAUUGCAUAUAUUUACUUGUAAUUGCAUAUAACUUAAUUAUCAAUUAUUAUAUUCUCAUAUCGUGUUAUAGGGUGUUUUAAGUUUGUUUAUAAAAAAAAAAAAAAAAAAAAUUUUAGUGUUGCGAAUUUCUUGAUCAGGUAAAUCCAUUUUACUUUGUUUUCCACAAUGACAUUGUACAGAUUUAUUCAAAAAAAAAGAAAAAAAAAGAAAAAAAAAAAAAAAAAGAGCUACUGUUAAAUUAUUUUUUUAUAUUGUACGGCUUAAAAGUUUUGCUACAGUUAAAAAUUCUUUGGUAAAAAAAAAAAAGAAGAGAAUUUGCCACAGUAAAUUAAGGAGAGGUUUGCUACACUAAAUUUAGUUUAUGUGUACGGAUGCGUUCGUACCGCAUCACCUAGCUAUAUCUAUCUCUUAGUUGUCACUCAUUUGUUACAUCUAGUAUUUUAUCAUUGGUUAUAGUAUAUCAUUUAUUUUGCUUGUGCCAUCUAUUUGUUGUUGACCCAAAUUUAUUAGACAUGAUUAGGCCAUAUUUUUUAAUUCUGAUAUAUUUCAAAAACUUGUGGGGGUACUCUUUUAUCAGUUUGAAUAAAUUUUUGAUUAUUAAUUACUCUCGUAAUUUUAUCCUAGUGUUCAUCUUGGAAAGAUUUUGCAAAUUCUAAGAUUGGCAGGUAAAUUAUUUUGAGAAUAAUUUAUUAGAUGGACUAACUUUUAUAAUAUUAAUUUUUUAAUGUUUUUCAGAUCUGAUCAGAAUCUUGCAGAUUGCUUGACGAAAGGCUGAAUAGGACUAAGGUCUAGAGUCAUCGAGGGGGAUGGGAGCUUUGCCGUAAGGGCCUUCCUGCAGUAGGGAACCACCUUGUGAUAGGGAGUCCCUUGAAGAAGGUUCAAUGUGGUAAAAACAAGCUGCUAGGUUGGCCAAGGAGACUUCUACAAUUUUUAUAAGAGCUUUAGCUCCAAUUCCAUCCCUAUUGGUGAGUGUGCUCUGUGUAGUGGAUGUGGUUGACUGAGAGUCUUAAUGGGAUCCAAGGCGAUAAUUUCGCGAGAUGUGACUCUCACACAUCUCUGGAGGAAACACUAUUAAGAGUAUCGUAUGUUGGCGACGGCUAUGAGAUGUGGGUUAUCCAUAGAAGCUCUUUAUGAAAAUCAAUGGUACUGUGCCGGCCAUUAACGCACAGACCCGCGACGGGGAAUUCUGUACUAUGUGUGUGAUAGUUGAGUCGGGUCAAAGGAACGUAGUUCAAGACUGGUUCAUCCGAUUCCUUCUGAUGGAAACUAUUUGCCUAAGUGUGAGGUUAAGUCUCUUAAGACACCUUACCUGAUUACAUAGUAUAACACUCGGUGAUUAAUUGAUUUUCUUUAUUUGUUGUUUAAUUUUUUAUUUUAUUUUUAUUAUUUUAUUUUAAAAUAAUUUUGAUUUGUGGGGAAUUGUUGAGAAAAUUCAAAAUUUUAUUUAUUUAAUAUUUAUUUUUUUAUUAACUUUUAAUUAUCAAUUAGCGAAACGGCCGCAUCAACUACGGCCGCUUCGCGCGAGGGGGGGAUCGUGCGCAGAUCCGUUCCACUAAUUAAGACCUUAAUUAGUGCUUUGGAACGUUGUGGGCUCCAACGUUCCAUACUUUAACCCUUUAUAUUUUGUUACCUCGUCCAUAGUAUUGGACAGGACAUAUAUAUACAUAUGAGGUGAACACUUUGGAAAUAUAGAUCACAGUGAGAAGGAAUACUAUUUGAGAAUCAUUUGUUAUUUUCUUUCAUUUUAUUAUUUUUCACCGAGUGUUGAAAGAGUCUCCGUCAACCUCUUCCGCGAUCGUGCUCGUAGGAGAAGGAGUUCCGGUCGUACCUUGGGGCGGUGUUUCCGGUUAAUCCCGCACGAAGGACGGGAAUACGCCUUAGGGCAGUGCUUCGCACGCUUCCGGAUCAAUUAAAUUUUUAUUUGGAUUUAGCGAUUAUCGGUAAGUUGAUUUUAUUAAUUUUAUCAUAAGAUUUAGUUAGAUUUAAAUCACAAUCAGUUUUCUGUGCGGUAUUUAUUCCAACACAAAAAUCUCUAUGCACUUUAUCAUAUAUCUUAAAUAUAUUGGUAUAUAUAAAAGACGCUUUAUGAUCUUCUGUCCAAUAGGUUUAGUAAUUUAUAGAUUUUGUUUUUCUCAAAAAAAAAAUUUUUUAUAGAUUUUGUUAAUUUUUGACGAAAGUGUUAAUGACGGUGACGUGAAAAAGUAACAACGAAUACUUUUUUAUGAUUCCUCUUAAAGUUCGAUACUCGAACAUAUAUUUAAAAGAGUUUAAAUGGACUUAAACAUUUACUUAAAAUUAAUAAAAAAUGAUAAUAAAUAUAACUAAAGUGCAGAGUUGAUAUCAAAGAUAUUUAAAAUAUUAAGUUCUUUAUUUACAGCAACAGCUCCAGCAUCUUGCAUCAGAUUGUCCGAAAUAGAUUCUUCUUAUAUUAUACAGAAAAUAAGAGAGGAUGAAAGCAUUCCCAUACAGCGUAUAUAUGUACGUGAAAGGUUAAGUGAUUAAGUUGGGUCACAUCCUGGUGCAGUCGUACGGGGAGUCUUCCUCGCAGACGAUCGUGCAGCCGGCGCCGGCGCCGGCGCACCAGGGACAGCCGCCAGCACCGCCACAGCGGCCGCAGCUCGGCGGGGGGCACCAUCCGCUGUCUUCCUUCCCGCACGAGCAGCACCGGUAGCCUCCGAUUCCUCCUCGGUGCUCGUGCCGCGGCCACGGACACGGGCACGGGCACGGCUGCCAGCAGCACCCCGGCCACACCAGAUAAGGAUACAGCACCCCCACCACCUUUGUCGGCGGAGGAGGCGGCGGCGGCGGCGGUGGAGGGAGAGGAGGGGGCGGCAGAGGCAGAGGCGGAGGCGGAGGGGGAGGUGGAGGGGGAGGAGGGGGUGGCGGAGGANAAGGAUCUCGAUGCCCUUGAUCACGUCGCAGGCCAUGCAAAGCAGCUUCUUUGAGAGGCGCUCGGGAUCGAAAGGGCCGGAAACUUUGACGGUGUUCUUCUUCUCAUCGUAUACGAUGGUCUCGAUCUUCUCUCGUUCUCCGAAGUUGGCAAAGAAGGAGAAGGGGAGGCACAGUCAGUAAUAUUAAAGAACCUAAAAUAUUACCUUCUAUUCUGAUACCAUAUUAAAAGAUGUAGAUUUUGAAAACAAGGCAGCGUAAGGAAAGCUUAAAUAGUAGAGAAUACGUACUUUGGAGCUUGCACAGAACCUUUUUGAUCUUCCUAUAGUAGCGGCAGCAUUCCAGGUUUACUUUCAGGACUAGUGUGGAGAUCAGCAAGAGCAAAAGUGAUUGGCAUAUUAAUUAAGCUAGCUCCAUGCAGUUGAGCACAACAAGCGUGCAUGGUAUAGCUGAUGUGGGGAGUGAAAUAUUCAGUUGUUAGGAAAGUUAAAACCGAUAUCGCACUUUGUAUUCUCACUUCAAUUAAAUUCAAGGAAUUAAAUGAAGUUAGAAGCCUGAUGAGAUUCAAAUUCAAUAAGCUCUUGUUCUGAUAUUCUAUUAAAUUAUGAAAAGUUAAUAAUUAUAUAUAUCUCCUCAGGCAUAGGUUAGUAAAUGGUGGUAUUUUUAAUAUUUAUGUUCAAAACUGCUAAAAAUAAGCACCGGCUUUAUUUAUCUCUAAAAACGAAACAUCAAUGAGAUUCUCGGUGACUCGACAUCUUAGUUUUUCAAAAAAAAAAAAGAAAAAAGGAGAGAGAGAAAUAUCAGAGAGUUGGAAAUUUGUGCACCUUCUCAGCCAUUGCUUGAGCCGAUUGAUGUGGAGACCAGCGAGAGAGCAGCGACGGAAACAAGAAGAGGCAUAUCACUUUAUAAAGCUGUUGAAGUUCAAAGUUUUUUUUUUUAAUUUAAAGAACGCAGAAAAAAUAACUGAAAAGGAAGUAAGCAAAAAAGAACAGACCAGUCCCUGUUAGGGUUUGGUAAAAUUUGUAUUAUAUUACUAGAGAAUUAAAGAUAGGAUGCCAUUUAAACUUAUUAUUAGGGGUAAAAUUACGAGUCGUGUGGUUUGGGGUGCAUUUUUUUUUUGUGCAAUAUGCAAUUUUGGUUGGUGAGCGCGAUCUGGUGGAGUCUAGUGUUGCUUUUAGUGAGAGUGAGAGAGUCAGGGCCACGAGAGUUGUUUGCGCUGGGCCUGUCAACGAGCCCAACACGAGCGAGAAGAGGGCCGGCUCGUGUUCGCUCAUUUGUUAAAUAAGACAAACAUGAAACUGAUUCGUUAAAAUAUCGAGCUCAAAAAUUCAACUCACAUUCUUGGACAUAUUGUGUUUGGUAUAUUACUCUCAGAUUUAAAAAAAACAAAUGUACACUUUACUUCCUUAGGUCCUACAAUAUAGUAAUUGUAUUUAGAAAAAUUAAUAAAAAUUAAUAUUAGAUACGUAUCUUCUUUUAAUUUUGAAGGGUUUAAGCGUAACGCAUGAGAUAUUCAAAGGACAGUUUGCCCCUUAGCCUCAUACUUAAGCACUUUGAUUUCCCAUGCCUACGAGGAUUUAAAGCACGAAUUUAAAAGUUAUGAAUUUGAAAAGUAUUUAUUUUGCAAGAGAGAGUUUAGCGUUGGUCUCGUUCACUCGUUUCCAGCAAAUUAUAACACACAUGCAUAUUUAGCCACAAAUUAUCUAAUUAUCAAAACUUCCACUAUCAAAUUAUCAAGAUAAUCAAAGCAGAGGUUGAUAAUCAGAUCUUUAGCCGCAUGAUUCUACGGAAGCGGAAUGAUACACAUGAAUCUCACCAUGCACGUUCAAUUUGUUUCGAGAUUUUUAUUUUAUUUUAUUUAAAAAAAAAAAUAGGCGAAGCUCAUAUAUCAGGAUUGUUCUUCUGUUUCUCUAGGGCGCGGAAGGACGAAAACCACUGCUUCCAAGAAGCAUCCCCUUGCUGUUCGAUCCACGACAAGAAGGCGCUGUCCAAAAGGCAGAAGAAAUUUACAUACAGAAGCUGAUACCGCACCGGAACGAACCGGAAGUUUGCGAUUUGUACAAUCGGCCAAACCCCGCCCCCUAGUAUGAGUGCCGGGACGAAAUCCCGCUUCACGUCUUCCUUCACUUGUUCUACGCUCCGACCUGAGGCGAAGCCCAUGUACGAGAAAAAGAUCAAUAAAUCCCAGGGCCCGAAUAGCAGCCCGUCGGCAGUUAGCUUUGCGGCGACAAAUUUUACGGAUUUGGGUUGUAGGUGAAAUCGAUAACGAAUGACUCGGUCCAAGUAUUCGUACCUGUAGGAGACAAUAUAACUAAUGAUCAGAAGGAGAAAAGCAUAUUAGCAAAGCUGUUUGCAAGUUGCAACAGAUGUUGGCCCUUUUUGGCGAGGAAACCCUAAGUUAUCAUUUUGGAUUCAUUUUAACACAAAAUUCAAAAGAGAGAUGUGGCCCAUGUUCUGACCUGGUCUAAAAUCAAAUUAUCGCUAAAUUUAGGAAGUAAAAGAUUACACAGCCUGCUGAUUACAGCAAACUCCAAGAGUAAGUGACCAUUGCUCUCCUAGUCUGCAAAAAUGUGUGUAAAUUUGUUACCUAAAUUGCACCGACAUUCCCCAGAUUUUUCUUUCUUUUUUUUGUAAAAAUAAUAAUUUUCAGGCCCAAAAUGAGACUAAUAAGAGAACAAUGAACCCUAGAUUUGACAAUCGCGAAUCUCUCUUUGACUCUCUACAAACCACAUUUCAUACUAUCAAAGCUCGACAAAACAAGCCAAGAAAAAUAAUUUUUAUCAAAAAGAGGGAUUGCCCAACGUAUGGUUAUAAAAAACUAGUAGUCAUUGCGCAAGACAUUAUUUUUCCUAUAUCAAAAAAUUUGGCAAGAAACCAUCUAGAGUCCACCUUGAGUUACAAAUAUAGCAGACGAUUAGCACCUAAGAACAUCAUAGGACCAUUUCAUCCCCUGUUGGUCAGGACAAAUCGCAAUUCCACUAACUUGGAAUUGGAUGGUCGGUCCACACUGCUGAAUUACACAGUUAGAUUGUGUUGUUAAUAUGCACAUGGUACAAGUACCCUUAUAAAGUUUAGGUCUAACAACUAUUCGAGAAGAAUCACAAUAGUUUCAUGUGCAUAAGAUGGUCAUCCUGAUCUAGGGUAUGCUAUGAUCCUAAUCAUGACAAAAGAGAAAUGACGACUAAGAAAGAACAACUUAGACUAUCUACCUGCUUGGCCUAGUUCUUGAACACGUAGUCUACUCAAAAAAGCAAAAGCCAAAUGCUUGAUGAACAGAUUAUCUAGAGCUUCUACUUAGCUGGCGAGCUGAAAUUAGCUUCUAGACUCUAGACUGUAAACUCUAAUUCGAAAUUUCUGCUCAGCAGUUGCCAAAACCUUUCAAAAGUAUUUUAAUGAAAAAAGUGUACGUCUUCAAACAGUUUUAUUCAAAUAGCACUUUUGCAGAAGCAAGCCAAAUGAGCCCUUAAAAGAGAUGAUAUGAUGCUUGAGAAGCAUCGUCUUUCUUCUAGUUACUAAACCAUUCCCUUUAAAGUAAUAAUAAAUACAAUAUCUUGUAUCCGAGCCAAUUUGCUUAUUUGUCUGCAAGCAGCUCUUCUGGCUAACUUUGCUCAGAAACAUCAGCCAAGAAUAAAAUAGUAAGCACAAGAGCUGAGGGAUGAUAUAUCAAAAUUUUAUUCACAAAAUUCAAGCAAUUUGGAAAGAGCGACUUACCAGAAGUGCCCAACUGGCCCAACAAAAGCAAAUCCAAACAUACUUGUGAUACCCACCCUUUUCCAAUUGAUUUUGAACUCUUUAUCUUUCCCCUGAGAAAAUAAGAGAUUUUACCAUCACAUUAGCCACUAGUAUAAAUUAUGCCAAAUUCCAAGGAAGAGAUUCAAGUCGGACAGCAACCAAAUAAAACAUGCCAUCAUUGAAUAUACUGGUAAUAAAUCAUGAUUGGGAUUAUUACCAGUUUAUUUCAUAAUUGGAAUAUUGAUUUAACAUUCACUACUGAACUGGCGACAUGAAUAAGAAACAUUUAAACCAGUAGCUCUCGCUAGCAUAUCUACUCUCUUUUCAGCAAAGAACUUCAUCGUUCACGCAUUAUUAAAGCAUUCAUAUCUCACAACAAAAAACAGGGCUUUUCUUUUUUUUCACCUACAAACAUGAAUCACCCCAUUACACAAACAAUUGCAAAAAUUGGUCUUCUUUUUCCCCCCAAACACGAAUCACUACACUAUAACAGAUUCUACUGGAUCUUCUGUGGCAACCACAAAAGGAAAUCACUAGCGAGAUUGCAAAUAAUCGACAUAACAGCGAUCUAAUAAGAAGAAGAUUAGAUGCUGAAAAUUGCAGUGAGAAAUUAUUAUGAUACAACGCAGCUAACCCCGGGACAAAAAACCUAUCUCCGGAACAAGAAAACACCUAACUUGAACAAGUUUUCAUCUUUAUGCAUCAAAUCUUCAUAUCCCACCACAAAAAUCGUUCUAUUCUUUCCUACAUCUUUUGGGGCAACUACAACCAUUAUUACCCGAUCAAAGCGACAACAACAACAACAACCAUGAUGCAAACAACUAACGCGGAAUCCGAAUAAAACGGAACAAUAAGGAGAUUCUAAAGAUCCAAUAGAAUGAUUCGAGAUGAUGAUGAUGAUGAUGAUGAGGAUGAGGAUGAGGAUGAUUACGUCGGCGUCGGCGGGGAGGGGGCGCUUCUUGUUGGAGGAGGCGUGGUGGGUGACGGCCUGAGCUCCGAUGUCGCCCAAACCCCACAAGACGCCGGAGCUGAUCAUCUGCGUCUUCACCGGGUGCACCGCCAAGCAAUUUUGGUACCAUUUCCACACCCUCAGCAUCACCACCACCACCACCACCACCACCACCACCAAGAAGAGAGAGAGAGAGAGAGAGAGAGAGAGAGAUUGGUUUAGGGUUUAUUUGGAUGAAGGGGAAAGGGUCGAUUUCUUCAUCUUCUAUUUGAAAAAAAUAAAAAAAAAUGCAUCGGCUUGGAAUCACACAAAAGAUUCACCGAUUUGCUAAUAGUGACGCAACCUGAUUUUUUUCUUUUACUUUUAAAAAUUUAUACUUUAUUUUUUAAAAAAAUAAAAAAUAUUUUCAAAAAAUUAUGAUAUCAAUAGAGAGCAGGGCUAUUGUGUAGCACAGUAGCCUUGAUACUCCUAAAUUUUUAAUAAUUCAUCAAUUUUGAUGAAUGGUUAGGAUGAAAGAGAGAAGAGAAAUUGAAGAGAAACCAGAAUUCUUAAUUUCUCUUUUUUUUGAAUAUCUUCUCCAUUUAUCUUUUCUCUCUCAUUCUAACCAUCCAUCAAAAAUUGAUAGAUUAUAUAGUAGCCCUACUCAUUAAUAGAAGGGGUAAAAUAACCAAAUUAUUCUUAUUUGUUCUAAAAUAUGUUAUUUUAUAUAUUUUUAUUAUUUUUAAAAAUAUUUUCAGUAUAGAUUGUAAAAAAUAAUAGAAAUAAUGAUGGAACUUGCUGGAGGGAGAUAAAUAUAUCAAUUUGAAAUUUUAAGAGAGUAAAAUAUAGAUUUUUAAAAAAUAAAAAAACUAAAAAUAUUUAAUUUUUUUUUUAUAUAUUUGACUUAGUACUUUUCAAAAUAAAUGACCUGUCUACUUUCGUAUCAUCUCCCACGAAAAUACAAUUCAAAUCAAUGAUCAAAAUUACUAAACCUAAUUUAUAGGAUAUUAAUUUUUUAGGUUUCCAAUUUUAUAAUUUGAGACAUAAUUUAUUUAGUAUUAAUUAUCCAAAUGAUCUCAACAUGGAUAUUUUCUAAUAGUUAAUAUAAAGUGAUUUGAGAUCCUGAUCACUAAUCACUAGGUCAAUAAUAUUAAAAAUAAUUAUAAAAUUUAAUUUUGAAAAUUUUCAAAUAGCCUGAAUUUAUCCAUUAUCAAUUAGAAUGUCUGUCCUCGAGAACGAUACAAAAGUAAUCUAGUCACUCCUAAGCGUCUUAUCACGGUCUUAGGAAUUUUGCUCGCAAAGCUGCGCGGCAUCCAUCUUUCUUCUCGAAGAUGGACAAGUCUAGCUCACUGUUACUAGUCUGAACCUCCGUGUCCUAUGACUAACUAUACCAAAAGAAAAAGGAGGCAGUGAUUCUUAAAAAACUAAAUAUUCUACUAUUUACAAAAACAGAAUUACAAUACACAACUCUUUUUUGGUUCGGCCUUAAUUAUUUCUAUAAUUUAUAGGCCUAAGAUACAAUGAAUCUAACCUACCAUAACUUACACACUAAAGUCUACACAUAGUAAUAAGCUCUCAUAAAUGUAAGGUGAAUUCAUGGAUUGCCUAUGAUUUGAUUGUAGCAGUUGUAUAACCUUUUAUCUCCCAAAGACUGUUGGUUUAGUACCUUUUGGCUGCCCAUUUAGUGAAGUUGAGUUAGGGACUUGUUUUUGGCUUUCCACUUAGGGAAAUUGGGCCAGGGAGUUGGCUGAGCUGAAAGUUUUCUAAGUCCUAACAGUAUGCUAGCCUAACUUAAGGAAACACUAGUGAAGGAGCCCGCGCUUUGCAGUGGAUAGAAACCAUAGUAGUAAUUAGUAAUAAAAAAAUAUUAAACAUUAUCCUGUAUGUCUCAUUUAGUAUAUCCAGCAAAAGUCUCUUACUGUUGGCGGCGGAUAUGAGCCCGACGAUGCCUUCUCCAGCGAUGGUGAUAAUGACGGCGACGACGAUCCCUCCGACCGCAGCGGAGGGGGGAAGUGGGCGCUCAUUAGUGAGAGAGAGGGCAGGAGCAAGAGAAGGAGGCGAUGAUAUAUAGCAAAAGAUGAGAGAUAAAAAAUUGAUGAAUAGAUUGGAGAUAAAGAAUUAAAAGUCCGAUGGAGGGAAGAAAAAAGACCAUGAUGAAUAAUUAAAGAUAGAGAAGUUAGAAUUGUAGAUAGUAGCAGGACCAUUUAAAUAUAUUAAUUGGAAGUUGGGUAAUGGGGCCGUUGCAUUAAUUGAAAGUAUAGUGGAAGAAAGGAAAAUAAUCAUGAUGAAUAAUUCUAGAUAGAAACUAUAGAAUUGUAGAUAGUAGUGGACAAUUUAAAUGCACUAAUUGAAAGUUUGGUUGGUGAGAUCUUUAAAAUGUAUAUUAAAAAUUUGGUGAAGGGAAGAAGAAUGGUCACAUGGUAGUGAGAGUGAAAAAGAAUUUGCCACGUAGCAAUAAAUAUUGAGGAUUCAUAUAAGUUAUAGAUAGAUAGAUGUUCUCAAUAAUAAAACUUAAUAAUCGAGACGGUGGCUGCAGAGACCCGACUAGCCAGUCCAUCUGGAUACUUAAAACUCCUUUGAAAAUCAAGAUAUUUGUCUGGUGGCUACUACGGAAUAGACUUCUCACCAAGGACAGACUGCGCACCACGACUGGGCCCGAGGAGGAAACCUGCGUCCUCUGCGCCAGCGCCCCGGAAUCGUGCGAUCACCUGUUUGGUAACUACGUGUAUGUUAAAUACCUGCUCUUCAACGUUGCCGGCCCGGAGCUACUCGCCGAACCUCAGAUAAAGGCCCGAGAACUAUGGAUCAGACUUCUAAGUCAAGGAAACGUCAAGAAAAGAUCGAAGGGUCUUUCUACUUUGUCUGCAAUAUGGUGGGCGAUAUGGACUGAGCGAAAUAACACUAUCUUCCGUUCGACACCCCCCAACCCUCUGUGCUCGCUAGAUCGUAUUAACGUCCUCCUAAACAAUUGAGCAUUUUCUGCUGAGCGCUGACCGUUUAUUUAGCUCUUCCUUUCUUUUUCGUCUUUUCUUCUUUUUUUUGGCUCCUCGCACUUUUUCGUUUUCCCUCGGAUGCCUUAGCUGCAUCCACCUUGUAAGCCUAGUUCAUCCCCUUAAUGAAUGAAGCGGGUAGUUCGCUACCUUAUUCUCAAAAAAAAUAAUAAUAAAACUUAACAAAGUUACUGUUAAAUGGGUAAACUUCAAUUUACCCAUUAUGGUGUGGUUCAACAAGACCAUCCAAUGAUUUAUCGGUAAAUAAAGUAUUAUUUUAUAUUUUUUAAAUAAUUUAUUUUGCUAUUUUAUUCGACGGCAGAUUUUUAUGGUAAAAUAAAAAUAAAAUAAUGAGAUAACUAACUAUAAUUUUUGAACCACGGGAUAGUAAAAUGUUAAUACACUACACCAUAUUAGGAAAAAUUGAAAUUUAUCUUUAUUUUAUUUAAUAAAAAUCUAAUUAAAUUAAUGAAAAGGUUGAGAAUUUAUUUCAGUCACUGUGCAUUUUCUUUUAGGGAAAACUUCAAAACCCCCACGUGGUUUCACACUUUUUUAUUUUAGUACCAUGUGGUUUAAAGUGUAUCAAGUUAGUACCCUGUGGUUUCUCACUUUAUCACUUUAGUACCAUGUGGUUUAAAGUGUAUCAAAUUAGUACCUUGUGGUUUUGCACUUUAUCACUUUAGUACCCCGUGGUUUCACACUUUAUCACUUUAGUAUCCUAUGAUUUAAAAAACCACAGGGUAUUAACUUGAUACAAAAUUAAAACCACAGGGUACUAAAGUGAUAAAAUGCAAAACCACGGAGUACUAACUUGUUACACUUUAAACCACAGGGUACUAAAGUGAUAAAGUGCAAAAUCACAGGGUACUAACUUGAUACACUUUAAACCACAGGGUACUAAAGUGAUAAAGUGAGAAACCACAGGGUACUAACUUGAUACAUUUUAAACCACGGGAUACUAAAGUGAAAAAAUUGAAACCAUAAGGGGGGUUUUUGAAGUUUUCCCUUUCUUUUAACUUAACACGAUAUGCAUAUUACGUAGCACACUCUCCACUAUAUAUAUUUUGUGAUAAAAAUAAUUAUUAUCUAUAUUAUAUAUAAAAGAGUAUAGGAAUUCUAACAAUGACAGACGAAAUUCAAAAAAGAAAUAAAAUAAUAUUCUCUACGAAUGGUUAUGAUCGGUUAUGACUAAUCAAUUAAAUCUCUGCUAUAUUCAAAAAAAAUAAAAUAAUAUUUACUACGAAUAGUUAUGAUUAAUUUGUUAAAAAUAUCUCAAAUAAAAACGAACGGUUAUAAUUGUUACUUUAUAUAAAUAUUUCUUUGUGCGGGAAAUUAUGCAUUCCUUAUAUUAGUGUAUACUAUAUUAGUUUUCUUACCAAUUCACAACUCACCGUGUAUUAGCUUGAUCUCUGCUUAUAUAAAGAGGUCUUUUGUAAUUUAUCAAAUUAGAAAGAAAUAUAUUUUCUUCUCCAAUUAUUCUUUGUUUCAUAGUAUCAGAGCGCGACUAGCUUAAUACGCAAAAGCUCGUCGUCACAAGAUCGCCGUCGGUAUCUCUCGACCUAAUUCUGUCAUGACAUCCACACCUCCAUCGAUGCCGCCUGUACAGGUUCCUACACCAACACCUCCAUCAAUGCCGCCUGUACAGGUUCCUGCAUCGACUAUUGCCCAGCUCGAUGUUAAACUCUCCGGGCCUAAUUAUCGUGAAUGGUCGGUGUUCAUUCAACUCUUGUUUGAUGCUCUCGAUCUUACUGGACAUAUUGAUGGUGCUGGUCCACCAACCGAUGAUUCCAAACUCAAGGACUGGCUCGUUGCUGAUCGACGUGCUCGUGGAAUUAUUUCUACAUCGGUAAACAUAGAUAUUCGGAUGCAGCUUAUCAAUUGUCCACCACUCAUCAGAUGUGGUCUCUUCUUCGGCAGAUGUAUGAGCAGUCUAGUUAUGCUCAAUCAUAUGCUGAGUUUCAAGAGAUCUCCAUGGCUCAUCAAGGUGAGCGUAGUAUCCAAGAGUUUUACAGUUUUAUGCAGGCUCGUUGGCGUCAACUGGCGACCAUGGAUGAACCCUUGUGUCGCACUUGCUCAGCUUGUCAGUGUACUGUCAAACAAAAGCAGGUGCGUGAUCAACAACGAUUGUUCCAGUUUCUUAUGCGCCUACGACCUGAGUUUGAAGCAUUACGUGGCCAACUACUCCAUCGAACUCCCUUCCCUACUAUUGAUGUGGCUCUCGCGGAAUUGAUUGCUGAGGAGACACGUCUUCGAGUUUUGAGUUCCUCUUCUUCCGCAAUGCCUAACGUUCUUGCUGCUCAUGGUCCUGCAAGUCCACAUCCCGUGCCAGCGCCUACUUAUCAUCAACCGCCUUCUAGUUACAUUCCAAAUCCUGGUACUAGAAAAGACAAACGAAGCAUUCAAUGUCGUUACUGUCAUCUUUGGGGUCACUCAAUUCAAGAUUGCCGGAAAAAGAAGUGGGCAGAUCAGCAUUUACGAUCCUCUCGUAAUAUGCCUACUGUUGCAUCUGCUCCUUCUGUUCCUCCGGUCAACAACGCGUCAUCUACAGAGCAGCAACCUUCAACUAUUCAAUUGAGUCUUCCUCAACUACUGCAGAUGUUUCAGCAACACCAAUUGACUCCAUCCACUUCGUCAGGGCAGUCCUCCUCUAUCUUUUCAUCUACGCCAUCAGGUUUUGGUAUGACUGGUCCUGGAGGUACUUCGGAACAUUCCUGGAUUUUAGACUCAGGCGCAUCAUUUCAUAUGACACCACAUGCUUCUGUACUUUCUUCACCUUCUCAAUUAAAUUCACCUUCACAUAUUUUUACUGCUGAUGGUACCUCUCUUUCUGUCAAUAAUAGUGGCGUUGUUUCACCUAAAUCUGAUACUUCAGGACGCUUUACUAUUCCCUCUGUCUUACAUAUACCUCGACUCUCUCUUAACUUACUAUCUGUCAGCCAAAUUACUGAUCAUGAUUGCACAAUGACCUUUGAUUCUUCUUCUUGUCUUGUGCAGGAUCGUCGGACCGGGACUUUGAUUGGACAGGGCCAUAGACGUGACUGCCUGUACUACAUGGACUAUCUGCAUCUUCCUCCUAAAAUUAAUUCAGCAAAUAUUGCUACAACUUCAAAUUCUAAUCUCUGGCAUCGUCGUCUCGGUCAUCUUUCUUCUGAUAAGUUUACUGUUUUAGUUCGUAGUGGCGUAUUAGGUCCUGUUUUUAAUUCCUAAUCUGUUUCUUGCAUUGGAUGCAAACUUGCUAAACAUUCCAUUAAACCUUUUCCUGUUAGCAAUUCUAUUUCAAGUGCACCAUUUGAUCUUAUUCACUCUGAUAUUUGGGGACCAGCACCUAUAUCAACUCGUGUUGGAAAUAAAUAUUAUGUUAUUUUCAUUGACGAUUACUCACGCUUUACCUGGGUUUAUUUUAUGCAUAACAAAUCUGAAUUUUUUCAAUUGUAUCAAAAUUUCGCUGCCAUGGUUCAAACUCAAUUUGGUGCCACUAUUAAAACUUUCCGCUCUGAUUCUGGUGGCGAGUAUCUUUCAAAUGAAUUUCGCCAACUUCUCGCUAAGCAUGGUACUUUGCCACAACUCUCUUGUCCUUAUACUCCUCAACAGAAUGGUGUUGCUGAGCGUAAACACCGACAUAUCCUUGAAACCGCUCGAUCUCUUCUAAUUGAUGGGUCUGUGCCUAAACAAUUUUGGGCAGAUGCGGUUUCUACCGCAGUUUAUCUGAUUAAUAUUAUGCCCUCCAGUCUUUUCUCCGGCGUUUCUCCUAGUGAGCGAUUGUAUGCUAAAUCACCAUCUUAUACUCAUUUGCGUGUUUUUGGAUGUACUUGUCUUGUUCUUUUGCCUCCGCAUGAACGAACCAAAUUAACUCCAAAAUCGUCAAUUUGUGUUUUCUUAGGAUAUAGUCUUGAGCAUAAAGGGUACAGAUGUUAUGAUCCUACUGCUCGCCGCAUGCGAAUUUCUCGAGAUGUCAUUUUUCUUGAACAUGUAUCAUAUUAUGCUCAAUCUAAGUUAAGCGUUGAUACUUCUGCCGUUUCUUCACCUUCUGUUAUUGAUCUUUCAUUUCUUGUUAAUUCUUCGUCGACCACCACAUCUUCUCCCGAAGAGCCCCAACGAAUUGUCGCUCCGCCCACUGAAUCUUCGUCUUCUGCAGAAGUUUCUAUAGUACCGGCACCACAUGACGACCCACCAAUUACUGUUCCUUCCGACGAUCAAACGACUGCUGAGCGUCGCUAUCCACUGCGUACUCGCCGCCCAACACAAUUUUUUGGUUGUCUUGCCUCUCCUUCUUUUUCUCCACGAUAUCAUGCUUUCUUUGCAGCCAUCUCUAAUAUCCAGGAACCCCGUACAUAUCGCCAGGCCGUUUCCAUUCCUGAAUGGCGAGAUGCAAUGACCACCGAACUUACUGCCCUUCAUCGUACUGGUACUUGGGAACUAGUUCCUCUCCCGCCGGGCAAGACUCCAAUAUGUUGUAAGUGGAUUUAUAAAGUCAAGACAAAUUCUGAUGGCUCAAUUGAUCGCUAUAAAGCCCGUUUAGUUGCUCGAGGGUUCUCUCAAGAAUAUGGCAUUGAUUAUGAGGAGACAUUCGCCCCUGUUGCUAAAAUGACCUCUGUUCGCAUCCUUAUUGCUCUUGCUGCCUCUCGUAGCUGGCCUCUUUAUCAACUUGAUGUCAAAAAUGCCUUCUUACAUGGGGAUCUUCAUGAAGAAGUUUAUAUGCAACCACCUCCUGGUCUUUCCCAUUCAUCUGGUCAUGUUUGCCGGCUACGGAAGGCUUUAUAUGGCCUUAAACAAGCUCCCCGAGCUUGGUUUGAAAAAUUUCAGUCUGCUAUUCUUUCCUUUGGAUUUCAUCAAAGCGAAAAUGAUCAUGCCUUAUUUAUUCAUACAUCUUCUCGCGGGCUCACUGCCUUACUUUUGUAUGUUGAUGACAUGAUAAUUACUGGUGAUGAUCCUGAUUGUAUUCGUUCCGUUAAAUCCUAUCUUCAGCAACAAUUUGACAUGAAGGAUCUUGGUCCUCUUCGAUAUUUUUUGGGGAUUGAAGUGGCAUAUAGUCCUCGAGGAUAUAUAUUGUCUCAACAAAAAUACACUGCCGACUUGCUAUCUCGUGUUGAGCUAACUGAUACUGACACUGUGAGUACUCCUAUGCAGCUCCACCAAAAACUAACUCCAACUAUGGGCGAACCUCUCACUAAUCCUACACGUUAUCGUGAGCUAGUUGGUGCAUUAGUCUAUCUCACUAUAUCUCGCCCCGACAUUGCUUAUGCGGUUCAUAUUGUUAGUCAAUUUAUGCAGGCGCCUACUUCUGUUCACUAUGCUGCUCUUUUACGCAUCUUGCGCUAUUUACGAGGAAGUAUUCAUCAAAGUCUAUUCUUUUCUUCCUCUUCCAAGCCUCAACUUCGUGCAUAUUGUGAUGCUGAUUGGGCUGGAGAUCCUACUGAUCGUCGAUCUACGACUGGCUAUUGCGUUUUCUUUGGGGAUUCUUUGAUUUCUUGGCGUUCAAAGAAACAAGAUAGUGUCGCAAAAUCUAGUACGGAAGCUGAAUAUCGUGCUAUGUCCUCUGCAGCCUCAGAAAUUGUAUGGCUUCGCCGACUCCUUGGUGACCUCGGUGUCCAGUGCUCUAGUCCAACACCUUUAUAUUGUGACAAUCAAAGUGCUAUCAAAAUUGCGAAUAAUCCUGUCUUUCAUGAACGUACUAAACAUAUCGAAAUUGAUUGUCACUUUGUGCGCCAUCAUUACAUUAAUGGAACGAUAUCUCUGCCGUUCGUUCCCUCUGCUCAACAACUUGCUGAUUUUUUCACCAAAUCUCAGACCACUCAACGACAUCAGUACCUUCUAUCCAAACUCUCAGUGUUUACUCCACCUUGAGUUUGCGGGGGGGUGUUACUUUAUAUAAAUAUUUCUUUGUACAGGAGAUUAUGCAUUCCUUAUAUUAGUGUAUACUAUAUUAGUUUUCUUACCAAUUCACAACUCACCAUGUAUUAGCUUGAUCUCUGUUUAUAUAAAGAGGUCUUUUGUAAUUUAUUAAAUCAGAAAGAAAUAUAUUUUCUUCUCCAAUUAUUCUUUGUUUCACUAUCAACAUAUAUAACAAUGUCCACAUCAAAACCGGGGGAAAAAUACCACCAAAAAAAAGAAUGUGGUAGAGUAUGUCUUUAUAUGUACAUAUGAAAGAACUUUCUUAAUCAAGAAUAUGGUGCACAGUUGUUGUCAAAAAUGAACUUCUACGUACGUACAUAUAUUAUUAUAAAUAAAGACAACAUUGAUUGGGUUGUAAUAGUCAUACAAUGACAAAUAAGUCAAACAAAACAAAUAAAUCUUAUGACUAUAUGAUAAUGAUCAUUAAUUCCAAGUCAUCUACAAAUUACAACACACACACGCAAAUAUAUAUAUAUACAAAUUGGAGCAGAUACUUAUACCUUUCAGUUUGGUUUGGAUCUCAUUCGAUGGACAUAAAAUUUUAUGUACAUGUUAAUAAAUAAUACGAAACAACCGUAUAUUAUAUUUAACACUGCCCUCACGUUUGGACUCGAAAUAUUUUGUUAAGCCCGUAAUGUACGUAGACUUAAAUUUAAAAGAAGAAUUAAGAGUCUGACAUGAUUCGAACUUAGAACUUUUUAUUCUAACAUCAUGUUAAAUAAUGCAAAAUAAUCAUUAUUCUCCAUUGAAUAUAAAUAUUAAAAAUAUCGUGCUAUGACAACUUAAGUUUUUGAGAAAACUGUUGUUUCAUAUAACUUAACACAUAUGAUCUUGAGUAACAUCCCUACAAUCAGAUUGAGAUGAAGGAUCAUAGCCUAUUUAUAUAGUCCGACUACUAUUCUCGUGAAAGGACUGAGGCAUUUUUCAUAGUAAAUCAUUUUUGAUGGUCGGAAUUGAUAAUAGGUUUUGAUCUAGACUAUUCGAAAGGUCUAAAGUCCUAAUUUGUAUUUCUAAAAUUGUUAUCAAGUUCAUCAAAGAGUCGCAAAAUGAGCGGCCGAAAAUGUAUAACCCGGUAAACUUGGAUUUUAGACCUCCUCAGUUAAAGAUCGGAGUUGUCAAAUAUUAUCUAGAUCGUAAAAAUAAAAAAAUUAAAUAGUUUGAAUUAUUCGACAUUGUUAAUGAGCAAGUGUGCAAUAUAGCAUGUUAAAAACUAUCGAUUUUGAGCUCUUUAAUAACAAAGUAAAUAAUUUUUAAAAUUAUAAAAUUUAGUUUCUAGACAUUUUCAAUACUUUAGACCAACUCUAAUGGUGCUGUUCCUUGAGUUGAUUUUGAAAUCCCACAAUCAAACAAUGACUUGAUACAGUGAAGAUCCCCGUCCUUCUAAAAAUAUAAAAGACUUUUAGUAGCUGCAGAGGUACGGAUUUGUCUCUACAAAAUUUUAAAUAUCAAAAAUAUUUUUAUAACUCCUCAGAAGUUCAAAAAUAUUGCCAAAUUUUCUAACCAUACCGUGGGUUGGCCAUUAAUUUUUCGCUGUUACGAUCAUUAUCAAGAUUUCUUAGGAGCUUAGGACUUUGAAUUGAGAAUAUAUAUACAACAUGCAUGAAUGAUAGGAUAAGACGAUAGAAAUUAAUAAUAUUAUUAAUCUGCAAGUUUACUAUUUAAUCUGUAGAGCUGUACUUACAAUUUUAAUAGAAAGGGCAAUACUACUUUUGAGAAACUAAUCUACAAGUUUACUAAUUUGUAGGGAUAUGUACACAAAUUUUCUAAACAUGCAAUUAAUCUGGCAGUUACACUAUUGAUAAUUCAAAGCAGAUGAAACCAAUAAUUUAAGUUCAAAGACUUAAAAUUCCUCAUUAUUGUUUAAUAAAUCGUGCACCAAUUACUAAGAAUAUGUAUUUGAUGCACGUUUCUCGCUAGGGUUGAGAUCGAAUACUAAUUUUGCCGAUAUUCUAAAAACUAUAUAACUUUACAUGAUUCUGGGAUCGUGUCCUUUCUUUUGAUCCUAGAUAAAGCUAUAUAUAGAGAGAGAGAGAGAACUUUACAUGAUUCUGGGAUCGUGUCCUUUCUUUUGAUCCUAGAUAAAGCUAUAUAUAGAGAGAGAGAGAGAACUUUACAUGAUUCUGGGAUCGUGUCCUUUCUUUUGAUCCUAGAUAAAGCUAUAUAUAGAGAGAGAGAGAGAGAGAGAGUAUGACUAUUAUACUUUUAUGAUUAAUUAUAGAGUCCUUUAUACUCAUAAGCUGUUUUCGAUGAUAGAGCUUUCGAAUCGACGAUCCAUUCCGUUAAAUCUAGAGUAUUUGCAACUUAAAAAAAAUUUGUAAUUUUUCAAAAUCAUAAUAAAGUCCAUCAAGCAGGCAUAAUUAGAAUGAACAAUCAAAAUCGAACGACGUUCUAAAAAUAGAUGAUUAGAUUUUUCAAUUUAAAAUCGGAGUUACUGAUCUUUAUCUAGAUAGCAAAUAGAAUUUUCUAUCAAAAAUUCAACCGAUUCCGAUUCUUUUAUACCAAACUAACAAGUAUUCCAUACUGACCGUUAACAAUUGUCAAUUUUGAGAUCUUUUGAUCAUAAGGUAAAUGAUGUCAAAAAAUUAUAAAAUUUAAUUUCUAAAAAUUUUAAAUGCUUUAGAUAAUGUUUAACGGUAUGAAUCGUCAAUUCGGAAGCUCUAUCAUCGAAAACGAGUUAUGAGUACGAAUACGAUUGUACUUGUAAGAGUGUUUACUAGUCGGACCCUAUAUAUAUAUAUAUAGAGCUAGGCUGGUAUAAUAUUGGUAGCACGGAAGCCUCCAUGCUAUCAAAUUAUUUUCAAUGAUGCAGUUUCCAAAUCGACGAUUGGCUCUGCUAGACUUGAUCUACACUGAGUAUUUGAAAAUUAAAUUUUAUAAUUUUUCGACAUCAUUUGGCUAAUGAUCAAAAAACUUUAAACUUGACAAUUUUAAUGGCCGAUGUGAUGCGUUUGUGAAUUUAACGGUGUAAAACAAUCCAAAUCUGAUGAAAAUUUUAUAGAAAUUUUUUUCACUAUUUAGAGUAAGAUCAAUAUCUUUGAUCUUAAAUUCAAAUCAUUUAUCAUCAUUUAGAGAUUUUUAUUUUCAGCCAUUCAUUUUUAGACUACCCGUUUGAUAGGUAAAUAAUAUUAAAAAAUUACGAAAUUUAGUUUCCAAAUAUUUUCAAAAGUAUAGAUCAAGUCUAGUGGAGCCGAUCGUCGAUUUGGAAGCUGUAUCAUUGAAAACAACUUGGUAGUACGGAGGCCUCCGUACUAUUAAUAGUAUACCAACCUAGCUCUCUCUCUCUCUCUCUAUAUGUAUAUAGUUGAGCUAGAAUACUAUCGGUAGCAAACGAGCUCGGUGGCAAAAGGCCUUGAUGGUUGAUACCCGAGAUCCAAGUUCGAAUCCCAGUUGAUUCACAUUUCUAGCUAAAUUUAUUUCUAAAUGAAAUAGACGAAGCGGGUAGUAUGCUAUCUUUCUCUCCAAAAAAAAAAAGAAAAAAAAGCAAACGAGUUUGGUUGCUACCCAUUUGUUUUCGAUGAUGGAGCCUUUAAAUCGACAAUCGACAUCGUUGAAUAUGAUCUAUAUCGCUUGAAGUAUAUAGAAACCAAAUUUUUAAUUUUUUUCAACAUCAUUAACCUAAUGAUCAAAUGGUUUCAAAAUUUGUAAUUUUAAUACUCGAUAUGAAACAUUUUCUCGUUUAAUAGUGUAAAGAUAUCCAAAUCGAUUGAAUUUUGGUUAGAAAAUUUUUUAAACUAUUUAGAACAAGAUCUAUAUUCUCGAUCUUGAUUACAAGAUUUCUAUCAUCACUUUUUAAAGAACAUUCAUUUUCAGCUGUUCAUUUUGUGUCCACUUGAUGAAUAAGAGAACAAUAUCGAAAAUGCAUGAAAUUUUAUUUCUAGAUAUUUCAAAUGGUACAAACAAUGUUCAAUGGCACCGAUCGUCGAUUUGGAGGUUUUAUCAUAAAAAAUAGAUGGAUGGCAACGUGGCUUGUUUGCUACUGAUAGAAUUUCAGCUCAACUAAUUAUAUAUAUAUA
Molecule: long non-coding RNA, 74691 nt
Filed under: Ananas comosus (pineapple)
Lineage: Eukaryota; Viridiplantae; Streptophyta; Magnoliopsida; Poales; Bromeliaceae
Description: long non-coding RNA (ACOM_LNC016152)
Source: RNAcentral